UUGGGUAUCUCUGAAGAACGGCUUACACUGGAGAAGCUUACGGCUCCUCCAAAGAAAUCUUCUUCUGAUCAUGUGUCUGAUGAUGAGUGAACCUAGGUUUUAUGUUCACAGCCGGAGGGGUUGUGCCUAGCAUAUUUUUUCUUUUGUUGGUGGCUACUUAUUAUUUAAACUUCUAGGUCCCUAUGCACUCUUGGUCCAUUUUGUUGUGGUUUCUUAUACUGCUUUGUUAUGCUUAGCAGUACUGGACUAAAUUAUGUUGGUUUCUUAUGGAUAGUACAACUUAUCGUAAUUGGCAUGUGCUUUGCUGGAAUGUCCGUGGUUUGAAUUUUGAAGCUCGUCAGAGAGAUGUGAGAGAAAAAAUCGAGGAAAGUCGGUGCUCUAUUGUAUGCUUGCAGGAGACAAAAGUGUGAUGAUUUUGAUAUUCGCAAAAUGCGGGCUUUCUGUCCUAGGUGCUUUGACACUUUUGUAUUUGCUCCGUCAGUACGUGCCUCAAGUGGCAUCCUGGUAGUUUGGAAUUCCUCCAUCUUUAAGGGGACUUUGAUUCAGAUAUAGAGUUUUGGUGUGGUUGUUUCUUUCCAAUCAGUUCAUAAUGUUUAAAAGUUGACACUAGUGUCAGUUUAUGGACCCUGUGAUGGUCCUCCAAGAGAUAACUUUGUUAACUAAUUAUAUCACCUGAAUAUCCCCACGAACGAAAACUAGUUAUUGUUAGGAGAUUUCAACAUCAUUCGCUCUUUGGAUAAUAGAAACAUACCGGGAGGCAAUGUCAAUGACAUCUUCCUAUUUAAUGAAAUCAUUGGACACUUAGGUCUGCUUGAAUUAUCUUUGAAGGGUAGGAGUUUUACUUGGUCCAAUAUGCAAGAGCAACCUUUAUUAGAGCAACUAGACUGUUUUUUCAAAACAUCAGACAUGAUUUCUUUCUAGCCAAAUACAAUUAUCCUGCCUCUAGCAAAAACAUCUUCGGAUCAUGUGGACAUGCCAGGGUUUAUGGACCGUGUAGGACAUUCUUGGGAAUUGCCUGUGUUUGCUGAUCUGUCUGCUUCUAAAGUUUUGUCAGUUCAGUUUAAACACUUGCGUUAUACCUUAAAGGCCAGGAGCAAAAACUUGUCUCAUAUUAAGCUGCUCACAAUGGACUGUUGCUAGGUCAUUCUAUUCUUCUAUAACUUGGAAGAGCUGCGACCACUUACCACACCAGAACUUAAUUUCAGGAAAAUUGUCCAGUUGCACCAUGAAGAUCUGCUGAGCAUACAUUAUAUCUAUUGGAAGCAGAGGUGUACUAUUCAUUAUAUUAAGGUGGGUGAGGAGAAUUCCAAGUUUUUCCAUGCAAUGGCCUCUGAACGUUUGCGCAGGAAUACUAUUGCCAGUCGCUCAGUUGCAGGAAGUGAUCCAGUUUCUGACCAUUCUCAAAUGGUGAGAAUUCUUUGGGCAUCUUUUAAAAAUAGAAUGGGCCAGGACCAAGGGAUAAAUAUGGGCUUUGAUCUGCAGAACCUCAUACAACCAGUACCUGGCCUAUAGAGUUUGUCUGAACCUUUCUCUGCUGAGGAAAUUAGCACUGUUCUGAAGGAACUGCCGACUAAUAGAGCUCCUGGAACUGAUGGAUUUAAUGGGCUCUUUGUCAAGAAAGUGCUGGCCUGUCAUUGAGAAGGAUUUCUUGAAGCUAAUCCAGGAAUUUUAUGAUGGCAAGUUAUCUCUGGAGAAUAUCAAUGGCUCCCUGAUAACCUUGAUUCCAAAGAUGUUGUCUCCUGAAGGACCUGAGGAUUUUAGGCCCAUUUCUCUGACUAAUACAUGCUUAAAAUUCCUUACAAAGCUCUUGGCAAAUAGGCUGCAAAAGGUCAUUCUUCAGCGCAUUCACAAGAACCAGUAUGGGUUUUUGAAGAAUAGAGCCAUCCAAGACUGUCUGGCUUGGGCUUUUGAGUAUAUACAUCAAUGUAAGUAGUCAAAGAAGCCCAUCAUCAUUUUGAAGCUUGAUUUUGCCAAAGCUUUUGACACUGUGGAGCAUGAGCUUAUUCUGUAAAUCGUCCAGCACAAAGGCUUUGAUGCAAAAUGGAUUGCUUGGAUUAAAGAGAUCCUCUCCUCUGGAUCAUCUUCUAUUCUUCUCAAUGGUGUGCCUGGUAAACAGCUCAAAUGCAAACAUGGGGUUAGACAGGGGGACCCUUUGUCCCCACUCUUGUUUGUCAUAGUUGCUGAUCUCCUUCAAUCAGUAGUUCAUGAUAUGUUGGCUAGGGGAGUUUUAACUCUUCCAAUCCUAUCCCAUGACACUAAUUUUCCUAUUAUUCAGUAUGUAGAUGAUACAAUAAUAAUCCUCUCUGUAGUGGAAGAUCAGUUAGUUGCUCUUAAGAACAUGCUAAUAUUGAGCAAGCUGAAGCACAGAGGCUAUCAAAUAUAUUUUUCCCGCAAAAGCAAAGGCUAUCAAACAUUUCGGGAUGUAAGUUGGAGCAGUUGCCUUUCACUUAUGUGGGUCUGCUUCUUGAAACUACAAGACCUAAAAUAAGUGACUUGAUGCCUUUGGUGGACAACAUUGAAAGAAGAUUGGUCGUCAGUUCUGCCAUGCUUAAUCAAGUUUCCAGAUUGCAACUGCUCACAUCAGUGCUCACUUCAAUGCAUAUAUAUUUCCUCUGUAGUCCGCAUAUUCCUCCUGGUAUUAUCAAACAUCUAGAUGGAAUUUUCAGGCAAUGUCUCUGGAGGGGAAAUUCUGAUGUACCUAAGCAGUCCUUAGCUGCCUGGGACCUAGUUUGCAGACCUAAAGAUAAAGGAGGUUUAGGCAUUCUUAAUUUGAAUAUUCAGAACCAAGGGCUUCUUCUCAAGCAUCUGCACAAAUUUUAUAAUAAAAUGACUAUCCCAUUGGUUCAGUUGAUCUGGGAUAGUUAUUAUGAUGGAGUUGUCCCUCAUGCCAUAGUGCUCACUGGCUCCUUUUGGUGGAAUUGGGAUGUCCUCAAGCUUGCUGACCAUUAGAGGUCAAUUGCCUCAGUGCAUAUCAAUAUGGGGGAUUCUGCUCUUUUUUGGCUUGAUGCUUGGCAUGUGGGUGGCUCUUCUCGGCCUUUGUAUCUCAGAUUACCAAGCCUCUACUCUUUUGUUUUGGAUGACAAGGUUUUUGUCAGGGAUUUCAUACAAACCAAGAUCUAUUCUCCAUGUUCCAUUUGCCGAUAUCACAGGAGGCAGCAUCUGAAUUGCACAUCUUGGAAGGAUGGUUGCCUCAUCUACAGAGAGAUCCUUCUCUGCCUGAUGUUUGGAUAUGGCCUGGAAAAUCUGGACAAUACUCAGCAAAAAGCUUUUAUGACAUCGCGCAUACACACCUUCAAGUCGUCCAACCUUGUAAGUGGUUAUGGCAGAGCAGAUGCAUUAUGAAAAUCAAAGUCUUUGGCUGCCUUCUUUUCUUUGAUAGGCUUAACAUGAAGGACAUGUUGGUCAGACGACACUGUAGGUCCCCCUUGGAUGAUAACUUAUGUGUCAUCUGCAAUGCUUAUGUCUAUGAAGAUAGAGCCCGUCUCUUCUUCCAAUGUAACUUCAGUUGCAGGGUUUGGAACUACUUACAAAUUGAUUGGGGCCAUGCCUCUAAUAUUCAGUAAUGUAUUUCCCAAGCAAGACAGAGAUUCGGCCAACCUUUCUUCUUUGAGGUUAUGCUCACAGAUGCCUGGACUAUAUGGAUCUUGAGGAAUGGGAGAACUUUCAGAGGGGCAAGGGCUACUUUUGCUUCAUGGAGAUGUAAUUUUGUACAUGAUAUUCUUUUACUUUCUCAUAGACUCAAAGAUAGCACUAAGCAUAGGCUUGUAGAUUGGGUUAAUGCCCGCAUGUAAAUGUAAGUCCUCUCUAACCUAGUUUAGGCCUGUAACUUUUGAGACUUCCUUUUGUAUAGUUCUCUUAGUUUUUAUGCUUUAAUAAAGGACUGUGGGGUUUCUACCCUAUAGUAAAUAUUCUAAAAAACACCUUUGGAGAUACUUGUGGAGCAUCUUUAUGAUCACCCAGAUACAUUGUGACGUUUGAUAGCACAUAAGGUAUUCCUCCGGUAUCGGGAGUUGCAUAAUCUCAUAGUCGAAGGAAUAUGUAUUUGACAUCAAGAAAGCAAUAUCAAUAAACUGAACGACCAAUAUUCUAAGCUAACAUAUGGGUCUUGUCCAUCACAUCAUUCUCCUAAUGAUGUGACCCCGUUAUCACAUGACAACACAUGUCUAGGGUUAGGAAAUCUUACCCAUCUUUGAUCAAUGAGCUGGUCUAGUAGAGGCUUACUAGGGAUAUGGGUAUUUGUUUAUUUAUUCACACAUGUAUUUAAGUUUCCGACCAAUACAAUUCUAGCAUCAAUAAUAAACCUUUAUCAUGAAUAAGGAAAUAUAAAAUAACAACUUUAUUAUUGCCACUAGGGCAUAUUUCCUUCAAAUUUGAGCACAGUAAAUUCAUUGGAACAAAAAUCUAUAUAUAUGGCGAGCGCUAUUCUCUGCCCGCAACAACUACAUUAUGCUGCAGUGCCGGCCAGCGGGGAGUGCCCGCCACUGCAGAGAUUCUAACAGUGGCGGGUGAUAACCCACAACUAUAUGGGGUCGCAACAGUUUUCGAGGCUGGACUAUUCAACCCAAAUUUAUUGAUUCGACACAUGGGGAGCCAAAGAAUAUUCACGAGUAUUAGUAGUUGAGUUGUCAAUUCAACCACACCUGUAAGACUUAAUAUAUCCGGCAAAGUAUCUAGUAGCAAAGUAGUAUGGAAGUAACAGUAACACUAGGCAAAGUAACAGUAGCUGUUUUGUAGUGAUUGUAACAACAGUAGUAAAUGAAAGUAACUUAGCAAAGAUCAAUAUGUGAAAAGCGCAUAGGCAUUGGACCGGCAAUGAUAAUUGUGUUCGAUAAUAUUCAUCAUGUAGCAGUUAUAACCUAGGAUGACACAGAACUAGCUCCAAUUCAUCAAUAUAAUGUAGGCAUGUAUUCCAUAUAUAGUCAUACGUGCUUAUGGAAAACCAACUUCCAUGAAAUCUUUUGUCCUACCCUCCCGUGGCAGCGGGGUCCUAAUGGAAACUAAGGGAUAGUAAGGCCUCCUUUUAAUAGAGAACCAGACCAAAGUAUUAGCAAUUAGUGAAUACAUGAACUCCUCAAACUAUGGUAAUCACCAGAAAGAAUCCCAAUGAUUGUCACCUUGGGGUAUGCGGAUCAUAACUCGUAAUAGGUGCCUACGACUUUUAAGAUAGGAUCAAGAACACAAAUAUAUUCAUGAAAACAUAAUAGGUUCAUAUCUGAAAUCAUGCCACUCGGGCCCUAGUGACAAGCAUUAAGCAUAGCAAACUCAUAGCAACAUGAAUCUCAGAACAUACUGGAUACUAUGGAUCAAACCCAAACAAAACUAACUUGAUUACAUGAUAAAUCUCAUCCAACCCAUCACCAUCCAGCAAGCCUACGAUGGAAUUACUCACGCAUGGCAGUGAGCAUCAUGAAAUUGGUGAUGGAGGAAGGUUGGUGAUGAUGACGGCGACGAAUCCCCCUCUCUGGAGCCCCGUACGGACUCCAUAUCAGCCAUCCCGAUGAAAAACAGGAGGCGGCAGCGGCUCUGUAUUGUAAAACACGAUGAAUCGUUCUCUCUGAUUUUUUCUCCCUGAAUGGGUACUUAUGGAGUUGGAGUUAGGGUCGGAGGAGGUCCAGUGUUCCCACAAGCCUGUAGGGAACGUCGCCAGGGCUUGUGGCCUCUGGGUGGCCCCCUCUGGUAACUUCUUGCGCCAGUAUUUUUUAUAUAUUACAUAAAAAUUCUCCGUAAAUUUUUAGGUAAAUCCAAGAACUUUGAUUUCCGCACAAAAAUAACACGAUGGCAAUUCUGCUGAAAACAGUGUCAGUCCGGAUUAGUUCCAUUCAAAUCAUGCAAAUUAGAGUAAAAAACAAGGGCAAAAUAGUUUGGAAAAGUAGAUACAAUGGAGACGUCUCAACUCCACUAAGCUUAACCCAUUGCUUGUGCUCAAGCAAUUUAGUUAACAAACUGAAAGUGACAAAGAAAAACUUUUAAAAACUCUGUUUGAUCUUGUUGUUGCAAAUAUGUCUAGCCAAUAUUUAGGUUUUCAGCAAAGAUUAUGAAUAACCAUAUUCACAAGAACAUUUACGUCUCACAUUUACUCAUAACAAUGGCAUAAUCAACUAGCGAGCGAUAAUAAUGCAGAGCACCCCUAAAGAUAAAGGACUGACUCGACAUUAUAAUUCAUGGCAAAAGAUGACAACACUUUUUCAAAACUAUCAUGAUAUGACAAAAUGGUAUCUCGCUAGCCCUUUCUGAGACCGCAAAAGAUAAAUGCAGAGCACCCCUAAAGAUAAAGGACUGACUAGACAUUAUAAUUCAUGGCAAAAGGGAUCCAGUCACACUCAUACUCAACAUCAAUUAAAAACAAAGCCUAUAAAUGACAGUGGUGCUCUCCAGCUCGUGUUUUUUAUGAGAGGAUGAUGACUCAACAAUAAAAGUAAAUAGAUAGGCCCAACGCAGAGGGAAGUACGGAUUUGCAGAGGUGCUAGAGCAAGAAGCUUUUAAAACAUAGAUGAAUAUAAUUUUGAGCGGUAUGCUUUCAUUGUCGACAUAACAACCAAGAGAUCUCACAAUCUUUCAUGCUAGAUACAUUAUAGUCUGUUCCCAAACAAAAUGGUAAAGUUUUUACUCCCCCCCCAACAAUCACACUCGAGUGCUAGCCGAAUCCACGGGUACCAUCCAUACCAACAACAGUCCUAGGGUAGUUUUGUUUUACGAUUAUAUUUUGAUUUCAUUUUGAGCAUGGAACUGGGCAUCCUGAAUACCAGCCACUUUAUCUAGAAUGACAAGUGAAUAAACACUCAUCGUGAGAAUAACCCACCUAGCAUGGAAGAUACUGACAGCCCCCAGUCGCUAGAUCAGCGAUUUGGGCAUACAAAACAUAUCAUUAUUUGAAGAUUUAGAGUUUGGCACGUGCAAAUUUACAUUGAAACGGCAGGUAAAUACUGUAUAUAGGUAGGUAUGGUGGACUCAUAUGGAACAACUUUGGGUUUAAGGAAGCGGAUGCACAAGCAGUAUUCCCGCUUAGUACGAGUGAAGGUUAGCAAAAGAUUGAGAGCAACAACGGUCAUAAACAAGCAUUGAGGUUAAGCAACAUUGAGUGAAAGCACGAGUAGGAUAUAAAUCACCAUGAACAUAAAUAUCGUGGAGAGCAACAACGGUCAUAAACAUGCAUUUUGAUUCAACUACAUGCGUGAACAUGUGCCAAGUCAAGCCACUUGAAUCGUUCAGAAGAGGAUACCAUCCUAUCAUACUACAUCAUAACCAUUUUAAAUGCAUGUUGAAACGCAAGAUAAACGGUUAUCCACUCCUAGCUAAUUAAGAAUGGCAUGAGUAACAAUAAUCUCUAAUUGUCAUUGCAAAAAUGUUUCAUUCAUAGUGGGCUGAAUCAACAACGACGAGCUAAUCAUAUUUACAAAAACAAAAUAGGUCGAGUCCGUACCAGCUUCUUUCCAUCUCAAUCAUUUCGUCAUAUAUAAUCAUUAUUGCCUUUGACUUGCAUGAUAGAACGGUGUGGAUAAUAAUAAGAGUGCACGUGCAUUGGACUAGGCUGGAAUCUGCAAACAUUUACUCAAAGGAGAAGACAAGGUAAUAUGCGCUCUUUCUUAGAUCAACAAUAAUGCAUAUGAGAGCGACUCAACAUUUUCAUUGUGGUCUUCUCCCUACGAUCCAAAGAAAAAGAAAACAAUUUCAAAGAAACACAAUGAAAUAUUUUUGAAUUUUUUUUCUGAAGCAAGCAAAAAUGAAAAUGAGAAAAACUAUUUACACGGGAAAGCUCCCAACAAGCAAAAGAAGAACAGGAAAUCUUUUUGUGUUUUAUUUUAAUUCUACAACUAAUUAAAGUAGAAAGAAAACUAAAAAGAUGCGAGAAAUAUUUUUGGAUUUUAUCAAAGGUUUUCAAACACACAAGAAGAAAGCAAGAAAAAUAAACUAACAUGGAUAAUACAAUGAAAAAGUAUGAACACCGACAACUGGAAUGAGUGUGUGAACAUGAAUGUAAUGUCGGUGAGAAAUACGUACUCCCCCAAGCUCUGGCUUUAGGCCUAAGUUCGUCUAGGGCCACAGCUAGAAAUAACUCUCUCCUCGAUACGGUGGAGGGUCCUGAGUGUUCCACUGGUUGGCGAGCUCCUGUGGCUCCCACUGAUAAACAGGCUCCUGAUACGGAUCAGGAACUGGUACUGGCUCAGGUGCUGGAGGUUGUGUCAGCCUCCAGUAAGUGUAAAUGUACUCGGGCAUAAUGGUGUACCUUCCUGAACGAAUAUCGAACAAAGAAGGUGCAGGCAAGACAAUAAUCUCACAAGUGCCCUAACUAAAUACUAGGUUGUAGAGGAGUCUAUUAUCAUCGUCCUUUUUAAUAAAAUCGUGUGCUACCAUACUAGCAUAAUUAAAAUAUUUAGUUGGUAACAACAUAUCCUCCUCCUCAUCAUGCCUAAUGGGUAUAUCAAAAUGUUUAGAAAGACGGGAGGCAUAGAUACCUCCAAAGAAAGUACCCUUCGAGCGGUUUGUGUUUAACCGUCUGUCGGUGUACAAAAGUAGGGGCUCUCCUUUUGACCCCUUUACUUGUGUACGGGCAGUCAAAGCCGCGCUCCGCGGCCACACAUAGCAGGGCAGCGGAGGGAAGCCGGAGGCAAACCGAAGCACAAGGAAAACAAGGCGACGCCAAGACCAGAAGCAUAAAAGAGCAAAGGGGCGAGGUGGACUCCCCCGGCAGGACCCUUGCCGGGGCGGCCUCCGCGGCCCCGUCAAGAGCCUUGUCGGGGCAACUUGCCCAACGCCAGCGGAGCGAUCCACCCUUGAGCCCAAGGGUUCCAAAUGCCGCCAACAACUACAUUGAACCCAGGGCUCGGGAGGCACCUCUGUGGUGGCAUGCAGAUCUUUGUCAAGAUCAUAAAUACAUGAGGUCAGAUGAUAACCAGAAGACGACGACCCUCGGCGGGAUUCUAGCCGAGGAAAUCCACAAGACCCUCGGCAAGCGCCUUGCCGGGAACGACUGCAGCGCCACGGCAAGACCCUUGCCGGGCCCCCCGGCAAGCCCCUUGCCGAGGGCAUCAGCAGGGCCACAGCCAGACCCGCACCAGCCAAGACUCCACCACCGUCCCCAAGCAGCUGCUAGCUCAACCAGCUGGGCAGGCACCUGCGUGGUGACGGGCGGCCUCUACACCGACCCAGCAAGCACCUGCGUGGUGGCAUGCAGAUCUUCGUGAAGGCUCCACCACCGCGCCACCUCAGCAGCCUGCCUGCCCACAUGGCGCUGCAUGCAUCACUGGCUUGGGCGCGUGUCGAAGCAAGGCAGAGCGGCGACGGACGGGUCGGGCCUCGUUCCCGUCCCCGAUAAAACUAAUGGACACCUAAGUAGCGCAUUUAAUGCGCUUUGUUCUCGUUCCCGUGCGAUAAGCUCGCGCACUGUACACCUUUCCACCUCCUGUGUGCCACUGUGGCGACCCCUUUUGCCUAUAAAAGGAGGCCCGAGGCGACCAGGAGAAGGAUUCGGCUCUUUGGAACUACGCAGCCACCAUAGCUAGUUGGAGAGCUCAGGAACACUUUGAAAUACACACCAAAGCAGGACUAGGGUAUUACCCAUCCUCGCGGCCCGAACCUGGGUAAACAAUCUUUGUGCGAGCUCCUAAACCUGCUCUUCUCACAACCCCGCGCCCGCCAACCGUAGAAGGGAUCCCAGUGCUCCCAUAGGUGUCGUUUCCCCGACAUCUUUGGCGCGCCCGGUAGGUGUGACGCGGUUGUGAGAAUAUGGUCUAGCAGUUAGCCUAGCAGUUCUUCAUCGCCAUGGCUCCAAGAAAAGUACGAUCACGGCGAUCGUCUCGACGGGAGCCGAACGACCCGUGCCAGUGCGGGCGAGCAGCGCGCCGGUCGCGGACAAAACCCGAGCCGCGGCCCGCGAGCACCAGCAUUGCUCUGGCAGUCAGAGCCUGGCGAGCGGCGUCGUUCAUGUGCCAGACGAUGGGCCGCACACCGCCAAAUCCAAAGACGGGGCUGGGCCCCCCGCAGGCGGCACGGGGCCCUCCAGGGGUGUCGCUGUGCCACCUACGGGUGGCGCAGCAACCUCCAAGACGCCUACACCGGCGACCACGAUGCGCUCUUCCCAGGGUGUGCGCGACGAGCAGCGCCACCAUGCUAGGGACCCCGGACGCCGCAGUGGGAAGAGUCAUGUGCCUCAUUCGUGGGACGAAGGAGGCCAGCAUGCCCGUCGAAGUGCUGGCGAAAAUGGCACGCAGCCGUUGGGCCGUGAUAGAGAUCCUUCUAACGUGGUUAGAAUUCGAAGCGCGCCACAGGCCACGCAGCUCUCGCCCCCACCCACGCCAACAAAAGCUUUGGCGCGCGCGCAGCUACUCCUCGACUUCCCUCCCACUACGGAAAAGCUCGAUGAGUGAAGGGCCACCAUCCGGAGCCUUGUCGGCGUCGCCAACCAAGACGAGCCACGACCAGCGGGGCCCUUAGGCCGUCGCUCCGUCGAACCACCGCAUGCCAGCGGUGGAGGGGCCGGAGGUGUUGCGGCCACGGUGCACUCUCCUCCUCCACGGCAGCCGCCGCGGGUGUCGAUCCGUCGUGAUGACGCUAGUGAUAACAUUUCCAUAGCAUCGUCCGACCCACGGACCCACCGCGACCAGUGCCAAGUUCUUCGAGAACGAGCCCAUGAAGACGCUCAAACCACCAUCGAGCGCUGGCGCGAUACACGCCACCAUUCAGAUAGGCCGGCGGGGCUCGCUAUGGACCACCCAGCACCGGGAGGCUCCGGCGGCCUACCUUACGAGGUGGGUUGCCCAGCCUUUACCCGUGAGCUACGGUAGGUCCACUGGCCGUCCCACCGCACGUUCAAGCCCGACGUCGGCGAGAAGUACAAUGGCAAGACCCAUCCAUUAGAGUUCCUCAGCAUCUACACCAUCGCGAUGCAGGCCGCUGGAGCUCGUGACGACAAGGUGCUUGCCAAUUACUUCCCGUUGGCCCUGAAGCCCAAUGUCAUGUCUUGGUUGAUGCACUUGCUGGCGGAUUCCAUUUCUUCUUGGUCGUAUCUGUGUCAUGAAUUCGUUGGUGCCUUAACUGGAGGCCACCAAGCUCAUGGCCAGGCGAGUGAUUUGCAUAUCAUUCCCCAGAAGGAAGGUGAAAACCUGCGGAAGUACAUACAGAGGUUUAGCCGAGUGCAAUACAACAUCACAGAUGUUCAUCCCGCCGCCAUGAUCAGCGCAUUCCAUCAGAAUGUGCAUAACUGCAAGAUGCGCGAAGAGCUGGCGAUGAACAAGGUCAAGGAUGUGGCCGAACUUUGUGUUCUGGCUGAUAGAUGCGCUCGGGCUGAAGAGGGAAGGAAGUACCCCGGCUAGGACGCUGGCACGGAAACCAACUCUACAUACGAAGACACCGCCGCCCCGACAAAGAAGGGUCGGCGCCGCAACAGGAAACGCAAGGUUAAGACCGUGCUUGUCGUCGAGGGAUCCGAGGACACCGGCGCUGCCAAGAAGGCCAAGGCAGACGACCCCGACAAGGAAAUAGCCGGGUGCACCGCUUGCCGGGCCUUGGCAGCUGCCGACAAGCCAGGAGGCUCCGGCAAGCAAUACUGCAAGAUCCACCGCACCAAGGGCCACGACCUCCAGAACUACCGGCAAGUUGAGCUGCUUGCUGAGAAGCAAAAAGCUGAGUAUGAGACGCGGGACAAGGAGAAGGGCCAGGAUGGUGCCGAGGGAUCCGACAAGAAGCGUGGCGGCCAAGGAGGUCGCCACGGCAAGGAUAACCAACAAGAGAGGCCCGCUCGGGGCCGCGACAAGAAGCAGGAAGACGAUGAUCAUGACGAGGACGGCGAGUCCGGCUAGCAUGAGUUCCAGAAGGCUACGGAGGCCAUGUGCGUCGAUGGUGGCGCCUCGCUGCAUACUUCUCACCGCCGUCUCAAGCAGUGGGCGCGUGAGAUCACAGCAGCGGAGCCGACGUUCGACGCUCAGAAGCCGCUAAAGUGGUCCAGCAUGCCUAUCAUCUUUGACGCCGAGGACCACCCUGAUCGCACAACUGCGGUCGGAUGUUUUCCAUUGUUGGUCUCACCAAUGAUACGCAACCUCAAGGUGAAGAAGAUGCUGGUUGACAGCGGAGCCGGUCUGAACUUGAUCUCACCCGUUUUGAUCAAAUGGCUGCAAAUUCCUGAUAGAGACCUCAAAGAGACGGGCACGUUUCAAGGGGUCAACCCGGGCAGGAGUCAGCCGAAGGGCAAGGUCACGCUGCCUGUGACGUUUGGAGGCAGGCUGAACUACAGGACGGAGAGGAUUGUCUUCGAUGUAGCCGAGAUCCCCUUGCCCUACAACGGGAUGCUCGGCCGCCUGGCACUACCCAAGUUCAUGGCGGCAUCACAUUAUGCCUACAACACGCUGAAGAUGCCUGGGCCGAUGACCAUCAUCACCGUUCCCUGCGACAAGAAGGAUGCGUUGAUCUGCGCCGACCUACUCUACCGGGAAGCAGUUGCAGCAGCUGCCGCCAAGGCACUUGCUCCUGCCGCUGAAGCCCUCUCGCACCCACUCCGGCAAGCGCACUUCUUCAGACUGUUGUGCUACCAUCGAGGACGUGCCAGAGAGCUCCACUGGCAAGAGCAAGAAAUCCAGAGCUGUGCCACUAGAGACCAAGAAGGUGUCCGUCAAAGAGGAUGGCACGGGAGGGGCUUUCACCAUAAGCUCCACCCUCGACAGCAAAUAGGAAAGCGUGCUCGUCACUUUCCUGUGGGCGAAUGUCGAUGUGUUUGCAGGGCAAGCAUCUGACAUCCCCGGUGUUCCAAGGGAAGUGAUUGAGCACCAUCUUGCCAUUUGCCCCCAUGCGCGACCCGUCAAGCAGAAGGUCAGGAAGCAAGCUUUGGAACGGCAGGAGUUCAUUACAGAGGAUAUCAGGAAGUUGGAAGCAGCAGGCUUGGUGAGGGGAGUGCUCCAACCAACGUGGUUGGCCAAUCUGGUGGUGGUGCGCAAGGCAAAUGGGUAGUGGAGGCUGUGUAUUGACUACAUAUAUAUCAAUAAGGCUUGUCCUAAGGACCCCUUCCCGUUGCCGCGCAUCGACCGGAUUGUUGACUCCAUGGCCGGGUGUGAUCUGUUGUCAUUCCUCGACGCCUACUCGGGUUACCACCAGAUCUUCAUGACAAGAGAAGACAAAGAGAGGACAACAUUCAUCACCCCAUGUGGUACGUAUUGCUUUUUACGGAUGCCUUUCGGGUUGAAGAGUGCUGGCUCAACGUUUGCAAGGGAAGUCCAAAUUAGUUUUGAGCCCCAGCUACAUAGAAAUAUGGAAACUUAUAUGGAUGACGUAGUGGUCAAAACCAAGGACAAGGCAACUCUUGUACAUGACUUAGAAGAGACUUUAGUCAACCAGCGCAGGAUCAGCCUCAAGCUGAACCCUGAGAAGUGUGUCUUCGGCGUUCCGUCCGGCAAACUUCUCGGGUUCUUUGUGUCGCAGCGUGGGAUUGAGGCAAACCCAGACAAGAUCAAGGCUAUCGAGCAGAUUGAGGCACCCAAGCGGAUCAAGGAUGUGCGUCGGCUCACUGGCUGCGUUGCUGCCAUGAGCCAAUUCAUCUCCAAGUCUGCCGAGCGCGCCCUUCACUCUUUCAAGAUUUUGAAAAAGGCGGGCCCAAUGGAGAGGACCCCGGAGGCCGAAGCAGCACUGCAGGAUCUGAAGAAAUACCUCUCUUCUACACCGGUACUGGUGGCGCCUGAUACGUCUCCAACGUAUCUAUAAUUGAUGAAGUAUUCAUGCUAUUAUAUUGUCUGUUUUGGAUGUUUAUGGGCUUUAUUAAAUACUUUUAUAUUAUUUUUGGGACUAACCUAUUAACCUAGAGCCCAGUGCCAGUUCCUGUUUUUUCCCUUGUUUCAGUGUUUCGAAGAAAAGGAAUAUCAAACGGAGUCGAAACGGAAUGAAACCUUCUGGAGAAGUUAUUUUUAGAAAGAAAGCAACCCGGGAGACUUGGAGUCCAUGUCAAGAAAGCAACGAGGAAGGCAUGAGGCAGGGGGGGUGGGCGCUCCCUCCACCCUCGUGGGCCCCUCGUGGCUCCUCUCACGUAUUUCUUCCGCCUAUAUAUAUAUCCAUAUACCCUAAAACGAUCGGGUAACAUAAUAGAUCGAGAGUUCCGCCGUCGCAAGCCUCUGUAGCCACCAAAAACCAAUCGGGACCCUGUUCCGGCACCCCGCCGGAGGGGGGAGCCAUCAACGGUGGCCAUCUUCAUCAUUCCGGCGCUCUCCAUGACGAGGAGGGAGUAGUUCACCCUCGGUGCUGAGGGUAUGUACCAGUAGCUAUGUGUUUGAUCUCUCUAUCUCUCUCGUGUUCUUGAUUUGGCACGAUCUUGAUGUAUCGCGAGCUUUGCUAUUAUAGUUGGAUCUUAUGUUGCUUCUCCCCCUCUACUCUCUUGUAAUGGAUUGAGUUUUCCCUUUGAAGUUAUCUUAUCGGAUUGAGUCUUUAAUGAUUUGGGAACACUUGAUGUAUGUCUUGCGUGGGAUAACCGUGGUGACAAUGGGUUAUUCUAUUGAUUCACUUGAUGUAUGUUUUGGUGAUCAACUUUCGGGUUCCGCCCAUUAACCUAUGCAUAGGGGUUGGCACACGUUUUCGUCUUGACUCUCCGGUAGAAACUUUGGGGCACUCUUUGAGGUUCUAUGUGUUGGUUGAACAGAUGAAUCUGAGAUUGUGUGAUGCAUAUCGUAUAAUCAUACCCACGGAUACUUGAGGUGACAUUGGAGUAUCUAGGUGACAUUAGGGUUUUGGUUGAUGUGUGUCUUAAGGUGUUAUUUUACUAUGAACUCUAGGGCUGUUUGUGACACUUAUAGGAAUAGCCCAAUGGAUUGAUCGGAAAGAAGAACUUUGAGGUGGUUUCGUACCCUACCAUAAUCUCUUCGUUUGUUCUCCACUAUUAGUGACUUUGGAGUGACUCUUUGUUGCCUGUUGAGGGAUAGUUAUAUGAGCCAAUUAUGUUAUUAUUGUUGAGAGAACUUACACUAGUGAAAGUAUGAACCCUAGGCCUUGUUUCCUAGCAUUGCAAUACCGUUUGUGCUCACUUUUAUCAUUAGUUACCUUGCUGUUUUUAUAUUUUCAGAUUACAAAAACCUAUAUCUACCAUCCAUAUUGAACUUGUAUCACCAUCUCUUCGCUGAACUAGUGCACCUAUACAAUUUACCAUUGUAUUGGGUGUGUUGGGGACACAAGAGACUCUUUGUUAUUUGGUUGCAGGGUUGCUCGAGAGAGACCAUCUUCAUCCUACGCCUCCCAUGGAUUGAUAAACCUUAGGUCCUCCACUUGAGGGAAAUUUGCUAUUGUCCUACAAACGUCUGCGCUUGGAGGCCCAACAACGUCUACAAGAAGAAGGUUGCGUAGUAGACAUCAAGCUCUUUUCUGGCGCCGUUGCCGGGGAGGUGAGUGCUUGAAGGUAUAUCUUGAGAUCUUGCAAUAGAAUCUUUAUGUUUCUUGUUUUAGCACUAGUUUAGUUUAUAAAAGAAAACUACAAAAAAAUGGAAUUGAGUUUGCCUCAUACGCUUCACCUUUUUAAUAUCAUUCGUGAGUAUGAUGGAAAGGAAAAUUGUGCCAAAGUGUUAGAAGAAGAAUGCAUUAAAAUGUUUGGCACUAAAUUUUUGAAUGAUGAGCAUGAUUGCAAUGUUGUUAGUAUGAACUCCUUGAAUAUCCUGGGUACUAACGAUGAUUGCACUAGUCAUGAUGAAAAUGUCUCCUAUAAACAUGCCAAUUUUUGUGGAGGGCAUUGGGUUUGCAAAUACACACCGAAUAGGGAAGAUAGAUAUUGCAAGAGGCAUAAGCAUUUAGAAACUAAAUUGUGGCAAGAAAGGCUAGAUGUUUGCGCUGAAAAUUUAAUUUUUCUUGGCCAUACUUGUGAACUUUGCAAUGAACGAGGUCAUUUAACUAUCCGAUGCAAAUUGUUUCACGAUCUAAUCGUGCCCAAAAAUUGGGAUGACUUGAUUUCCCUUGCACAUUAUAAUGAACUUCGUUUGCUUAUGGGUUAUGAAGAAAUGAAACGUAUAACUAACUAUCUUCCAGUAUUUGCCCGUGACAAACUUGUUGGUUUUGAUCUAGAGGAAAUUUAUAUGUAUUGUGCGGUGAAUUGCAUUGAAAAUCCUUAUAUUUCCAAUUACAUCAAGAAAAGAAAACAAAUAGAAGAUGAAGAGAAUGCUAACGAAAGGGAAGAGACUUCCCGAUAUUCUCCUAUUAUUUCUUAUGAUGAAUCAGGUAACGAGGAGGAGCCUUCUAUUCAACCAAUCUCAUUAAUAAGGAACUCCAAAAAGAGGAUUGAAUCCACACAUGAUGUGGUGAAUAAGAAGAAAAGAAAAAGGAGGAGAGGUAAAAAGAUAUCUCUCCCAAAUAAUGUUGCUCCUAUUAUUGUUGUGCCUCAUGAAAAUGAAGAUGAUGCACUUGAUGAUGAUCUCAUUAUGCCUAUUGCUUGUUGUGAUUAUUAUGAUUGGGAAGAUAAUGAUACUUCUUAUGAUCUUGAAAAUCUUUUUGGCACUUGCUUGGAAUAUGAUAAUUGCUAUACUAUUGGCGUUAUCCAUACUAUUAAUGAUGAGAGUGAUUAUGCUUAUGAUAUAAAAAUGCCCAAGCUUGGGGAUGCUAUGUUUGAUGAUUAUGAUGUUCUUGAGAAUAUAUUUGCUGAAAUUAAUGUUUGUCCCAAGCUUGGGGAUGCUAUGUUUAAUGAAGAUGAUAUUUUUAGCCUCCCAAGUUUUGAUAUGCAAAGUUGUUAUGAUGAUAGCAUGCCUUCUACCUAUGAUGAUUAUAUUGAUGAAAGUGGGUUUGGAAGAGUGUCAACUUUAGGAAGUAAUGAUCCCACUAUUUUGGAGGAUGUUGAAUCUUAUAAUAUUUAUGGAAGUGCAUUUGGAGAGGUCAUGACUUUAUUUAGUGAUUUAUCCACUAUUUCGGAAGAGGUUUCAAUUGAUUAUGAUGAGAACAAAGUUGCUACUUAUGAUGAUUAUUGUGAUGAAACUUAUGCUAUAAAGAGUAGUGAUGAUUAUAUUUAUAAAACUUGUCAUGAUUAUGAGUACCCUUUCUCUGAACGUUACUCUUUUAAUGUGGAAACAAUUUAUAGUAUUCAAGUCUCUUAUGAUACUCCCACUAUUCCGAAUGAGAAGAAUUUUGCUUAUGUGGAGAGUAAUAAAAUUUCUAUGCUAGUAGAUCAUGAAAAGAAUGCUUUAGGUGAUGGUUAUAUUGUUGAAUUCAUUCAUGAUGCUACUGAAAUUAUUAUGAGGGAGGAAUAUAUGCUUGUAGGAAUUGCAAUAAUAUCAAGUUUCCUCUCUAUGUGCUUAAGGUUUUGAAGUUAUGCUUGUUUUGCCUUCCUAUGCAAGUUGAUUCUUGUUCCCAUAAGUUGUUUGCUCACAAAAUCCCUAUGCAUAGGAAGUGGGUUAGACUUAAAUGUGCUAGUCAUAUUCUUCCUGAUGCUCUCUUUAUGUUUCAAUUCUUAUCUUCUAUGUGAGCAUCAUUGAAAUCAUCAUGAAUAGCUAGGGGCGUUAAACGAUAGCGCUUGUUGGGAGGCAACCCAAUUUUAUUUUAGUUUCUUGCUUUUUGGUUCUGUUUAGGAAUAAAGAAUCCAUCUAGCUUCUGUUUAGAUGUGGUUUUGUGCUUUAAUUAGUGUUUGUGCCAAGUAGAACCUUUGGGAAGGCUUGGGUGAAGUCUUUAUGAUCAUGCUGUAAAAAAACAGAAACUUUAGCGCUCACGAGUUUAGCUAAAACUUUCUACUGGAAAGAGCUAUUUAUUUUAUUCUUUAUGCAGAUGAUUACUAGACGAAUGCCUCAGGUCCACCAAUUUAUUUUAGAAUUUUUGGAGUUCCAGAAGUUUACGUUUGAUACAUAUUAUUGCAGACUGUUCUGUUUUUGACAGCUUCUGUUUUUCGUGUGUUGUUUGCUUAUUUUGAUGAAUCUAUGGCUAGUAAAAUAGUUUAUAAACCAUAGAGAAGUUGGAAUACAGUAGAUUUAACACCAAUACAAAUAAAGAAUGAGUUCAUUACACUACCUUGAAGUGGUGUUUUGUUUUCUUUCGCUAACGGAGCUUACGAGUUUUCUGUUGAGUUUUGUGUUGUGAAGUUUUCAAGUUUUGGGUGAAGAUUCGAUGGCUAUGGAAUAAGGACAACCAAGAGCCUAAGCGUGGGGAUGCCCCGGAUGGCAUCCCCUAUUUCGUCUUCGUUCAUCGGUAACUUUACUUGGAGCUAUAUUUUUAUUCACGACAUGAUAUGUGUUUUGCUUGGAGCGUCAUUUUAUUUUCUUUAGCUUUGCUUGGUGUUUGAAUAAAAUACCAAGAUCUGAAUUUCUUAAAUGAGAGAAAGUCUUCACAUAGCUACAUAAUUAUUUAACUUCUCAUUGAUCUUCAGUUAUAUCUUUUUGCAGUAGUUUGUCAUUUACUCGUGUGCUUCACUUAUAUCCUAUGAGUAAAUGGUUGAAUGAUUUGAAUGUCAUAAAUCUGAAAUUAUAUAUGUUUCAUAUGCCUUUCCCACGGGGAGUAAUGCCUUCACAUAUAAGAAGUAGAGGUGGUAAAUUUAUUGAAGGUUAGCAAACAUUGUAUUGGUCACUUCAACAAUUCAUGAAAGAAUAUUGAAGGAAGAGAGAUUUCACAUAUAAAUAUACUAUCUUGGACAUCUUCUAUGAUUGUGAGCCCCAUUAAUUAUUUUCAUACCUGAGCAAAUUAGUUGAAGUUUGACAAGGAAGACGACAUAAUGAGUUAUGCUUGGGUGUAUUUGUAUAGAAGUUAUAUUGUUAUGGAUCCUCUAACAUGUGGUGCUUGCUAUUUAGAAUCCUUUGCUAGCCAAAAUACAUGUAGUAAGCCGGAAUACUGCUUCUGCAUCCAAAUUCCUCGAACCAAGUUUCUUCCAUGAGUGUCCACCAUAUCUACCUAUAUGUGGUAUUUACCUGCCGUUCCAAGUAAAUUUGCAUGUGCCAAACUCUAAACCGUCAAAUAAUAAUCUGUUUUGUAUGCCCGAAUCGCUCAUGUAGCGACUAGGGGUUAGCAGUAUCUUCCAUGCUAGGUGGGUUAUUCUCACGAUGAGUGGACUCCGCUCAUCAUUCACGAGAAAAAUGGCUGGUAACUGGGAUGCCCAGUCCAAUGAUCCAAAGAUCGAAAUCAAAUAAAAAAUAAUUUCAAACAAAACUCCCCAAGGAUUGAUGUUAGUUGGAGGCACCCGUUGUUUCGGGCAAGCCAUGGAUUGAUGAUUGUUGGUGGAGGGGGAGUAAAAUCUUUACCUUUCUGUUUGGGAACCGCCUAUAAUGUCUGUAGUAUGGAAGAUAUUGGGAACUCUUGGUUAUUCUAUUGACAAUGAAAGCAUACCUCUCAAAAUUAUUUUCAUCUCUGUUUUUGCUUCGAGCUCUAGAACCUGUGCAAAUCCCUGCUUCCCUCUGGGAAGGGCCUAUCUUUUACUUUUAUGCAAGAGUCAGUAGUAUUCCUUCUCAUUCCAACCUACUCUUUAGUUGUCAAGCAUCAUGUGAUGGAAAGAUCUAGGCAUCUAUGGCCAUUCAAAUAUAUUUGAGCAUGAAUUAUUAUUGUUGACAUUACCCCAGAGGUAAAAGGUUGGGAGACGAAACAUUAAGCCCCUAUCUUUCUCUGUGUUCGAUGAAUACUAUUUGUUCUAAAAAUAUGCUUUGAGUGGUAGCAAUCAUGGAAGACUAUAUGAUAGUUGAGUAUGUGGGAUUUGCUAAAUCAAAGCUCUGACAUAGACUCUUCGUGAAAAUAAGAUGAAUUGCAAUUGUUUGAUGACUGAGAACAUAGUUUGUUAGUUUUCAAGAAAGUUUAUGAUCUAUACUUUAACAUGUGAAUAGUUUUUUACUUGAAGAUGCAAAGUUUUAUGAUAUGAGCUACUGUUAUGACAUAUAAUGAUGUUAGAAAAGGUGAUUGAAAUUAUCAUUGAUCAAACUUAUGCACCUGCUAGCAUUCACACUUCAUAAAUUAUUUCUUUUAUCAUUUACCUACUCCAGGACGAGCAGGAAUUAAGCUUGGGGAUCCUGAUACGUCUCGAACGUAUCUAUAAUUUAUGAAGUAUUCCUGCUAUUAUAUUAUCUGUUUUGGAUGUUUAUGGGCUUCAUUAAACACUUCUAUAUUAUUUUUGGGACUAACCUAUUAUCCCAGAGCCUAGUGCCAGUUCCAGUUUUUUCCCUUGUUUCAGUGUUUCGAAGAAAAGGAAUAUCAAACGGAGUCGAAAAGGAAUGAAACCUUCUGGAGAAGUUAUUUUUAGAAAGAAAGCAACCUGGGAGACUUGGAGUCCACGUCAAGAAAGCAACGAGGAAGGCACGAGGCAGGGGGGCGCGCCCACCCCCCUGGGCAUGCCCUCCACCCUCGUGGGCCCCUCGUGGCUCCUCUGACGUAUUUCUUCCGCCUAUAUAUAUAUAUCCAUAUACACUAAAACGAUCGAGGAACAUAAUAGAUCGGGAGUUCCGCCGCCGCAAGCCUCUGUAGCCACCAAAAACCAAUCGGGACCCUGUUCCGGCACCCUGCCAAAGGGGGGAGUCCUCACCAGUGGCCAUCUUCAUCAUCCCGGCGCUCUCCAUGACGAGGAGGGAGUAGUUCACCCUCGGGGCUGACGGUAUGUACCAGUAGCUAUGUGUUUGAUCUCUCUCUCUCUCUCUCUCGUGUUCUCAAUUUGGCAUGAUCUUGAUGUAUCGCGAGCUUUGCUAUUAUAGUUGGAUCUUAUGUUGCUUCUCCCCAUCUACUCUCUUGUAAUGGAUUGAGUUUUCCUUUGCAGUUAUCUUAUCGGAUUGAGUCUUUAAUGAUUUGAGAACACUUGAUGUAUGUCUUGCGUGGGAUAACCAUGGUGACAAUGGGUUUUUCUAUUGAUUCACUUGAUGUAUGUUUUGGUGAUCAACUUUCGGGUUCCGCCCAUGAACCUAUGCAUAGGGGUUGGCACACAUUUUCGUCUUGACUCUCCGGUAGAAACUUUGGGGCACUCUUUGAGGUUCUAUGUGUUGGUUGAAUAGAUGAAUCUGAGAUUGUGUGAUGCAUAUCGUAUAAUCAUACCCACGGAUACUUGAGGUGACAUUGCAGUAUCUAGGUGACAUUAGGGUUUUGGUUGAUGUGUGUCUUAAGGUGUUAUUUUACUACGAACUCUAGGGCUGUUUGUGACACUUAUAGGAAUAGGCCAAUGGAUUGAUCGAAAAAAUAACUUUGAGGUGGUUUCGUACCCUACCGUAGUCUCUUCGUUUGUUCUCCACUAUUAGUGACUUUGGACUGACUCUUUGUUGCAUGUUGAGGGAUAGUUAUAUGAUCCAAUUAUGUUAUUAUUGUUGAGAGAACUUACACUAGCGAAAGUAUGAACCCUAGGCCUUGUUUCCUAGCAUUGCAAUACCGUUUGUGCUCACUUUUAUCAUUAGUUACCUUGCUAUUUUUAUAUUUUCAGAUUACAAAAACCUAUAUCUACCAUCCAUAUUGCACUUGUAUCACCAUCUCUUCGCCGAACUAGUGCACCUAUACAAUUUACCAUUGUAUUGGGUGUGUUGGGGACACAAGAGACUCUUUGUUAUUUGGGUGCAGGGUUGCCUGAGAGAGACCAUCUUCAUCCUACGCCUCCCACGGAUUGAUAAACCUUAGGUCAUCCACUUGAGGGAAAUUUGCUACUGUCCUACAAACCUCUGCACUUGGAGGCCCAACAACGUCUACAAGAAGAAGGUUGCGUAGUAGACAUCAGCGCCUAAACCACAAGAGCCGUUGCUGCUGUAUCUAGCAGUGACUAUUCAAGUGGUGAGUGCCGCACUAGUGGCGCAGAGGGAGGUCGACGAAGAGGUAGUGGCGACGGUGGGACUGGCGGAUGACAAGCCAAAGAUUCCCCCGGCAGGGCCCGAUGCCGACAAGGCAAGGCCCCCGGCAGAGUCUGACGCCAUCGGGACAGGGCCCAUGCAAUCAAAUGAAGUGGUGCAGAAGAAGAAGAUGAUGCAGCACCCGAUUUACUUUAUCAGCUCCCUACUGCAGGGGGCUAGGUCAAUGUACUCUGGUGUGCAGAAAUUACUCUUCGGCCUCCUUAUGGCCUCGAGGAAUCUGCGUCGCUACUUCCAAGCACACGAAAUCACCGUCGUCACCCGCCUCCUGUUGCAACGGAUACUGCACAACCCAGACCCGACCGGAAGGAUUGUGGAGUGGGCCUUGGAGAUAUCAAGCUUUGGUUUGAAGUUUGAAAGUACUUCGACAAUCCAGAGCAGAGUCUUGGCGGAGUUCAUUGCAGAAUGGACCUCAACGCCUGACGAGGAAAUCCAGGAGACCACUCUCCCCGGCAAGGAAGCAAGUCACAACUGGAUCAUGUACUUUGACGGGGCUUUCUCGCUUCAAGGCGCCGGAUCAGGUGUGCUGCUCGUCGCACCCACCGGAGAGCACCUCAAGUAUGUAAUCUAGAUGCACUUUCCCAGGGAGAUGUCCACCAACAACACUGCUGAGUAUGAGGGGUUGCUUGCCGGUCUCAGGAUCGCGGCAGACCUUGGGGUUAAGAAGCUCAUCGUCAGGGGUUAUUCGCAGCUUGUCGUCAGACAAGUCAACAAAGAUUAUCAGAGCCCGUUGAUGGAGGCCUACGUAGAUUAGGUGAGGAAGCUGGAGGAGCGCUUUGGUGGUAUACAAGCGGAGCACGUUCCCCGAGUGGAGAACGACAUCGCCGAUUACCUGUCAAAGCUCGCUGCAUUCAAGUUACCUAUGGGACCAGGUACUUUUUUGCUUCAGUUAACUCAACCAUCCGUCAAACCGUCAACGGAGCAGAACAAGAAGAGGAAAUCAGGCCCUAGCAAUUACUUUCCCGCCAAGCCCCCUGGGGCCGCUGGCAAGGAUGCUGCCGUGGGUACUGAUUCCGCCGAGGGGCAACUUUGCGGGUCGUCAAGCCCUGGCCGUAGAGACGGCCGCCCCCAUGGCAGAAGAAAUGCCUUUGGUCCUUGCCAUCGAGCCCUAGGCUCCGGCAUGGGCACAACAUACCGUCCGAUUCCUCCAAACAGGGGAGCUUCCUGAGGAGCAGGAAGAAGCGGAGAAAGUAGCCCGUCGGUCUGCUAUGUAUCAGUUCGUCGAUGAUGUGUAUAGGAAGAGACCGAACGGUGUGAAAUUGAAGUGCAUUCCUCGGGAGGAAGGACUGGUGCUGUUGGCAGAGAUACACAGAGGCAUAUGUGGCUCCCACAUAGGGUCGAGGGCUCUUGACGGCAAGGCGUUCCGGCAGGGUUUCUUCUGGCCCACUGCCCUCCAGGAUGCAAAGGCACUAGUAACCAAGUGUGACGCGUGUCAGUUCCAUUCGAGGAAGCUUCAUCAACUAGCUCAAGCCCUUCAAACAAUUCCUCUUUCCUGGCCAUUCUCGGUCUGGGGGCUCGACAUCAUGGGCCCUUUCCCCCGCGCUGCCGGGGGCUUUGAGUACUUUUACGUUGCGAUCGACAAGUUCACAAAGUUGCUGGAGGUGGAAGCAGUGAGGAAGGUGACAGCAAGGUCGGCCGUCAAGUUCUUCAAGGGCCUAGUGUGCCGUUUUGGUGUGCCAAAAAAAGUCAUCUCCGACAACGGCACGCAGUUCACAAGCCACACCUUCAUGCAAUACAUCCAAGACCUCGGCAGCAAGGUCUGUUUCACUUCUGUGGCACACCCAUGGAGCAACGGCGAGGCGGAUAGGGCAAAUGCUGAAGUGUUGCGAGGCCUGAGGACAAAGACUUUUGACAGACUGCACAAGAGCGGAAGGCGUUGGAUUUAUGAGUUGCCGGCGGUUCUUUGGUCGAUCAGGAUGACGCCAAAUCGAGCCACCAGCCAGACACCCUUUGCCCUGGUAUACGGGGCAGAAGCAGUUCUCCCCACGGAACUCAUAUACGGGUCACCUCGAGUGCUCGCUUACGACGAGCUUGAGCAAGAGCAAUUGCGGCAAGAUGACGCAACGCUCCUUGAGGAAGAUCGUCUUCGGGCGGCUGUGCGAGCAGCACGCUACCAGCAAGCCUUGCGCCGCUAUCAUAGCCGCAAGGUUCUUGCGCGAAGCUUUGAGGAAGGCCACCUUGUUCUUCGGCGCGUUCAGUCGGCCAAGAAUUCCAACAAGUUGACGCCGAAGUGGGAAGGCCCUUAUCGGGUAAUACGAGUCACGAUGCCUGGCACCGUCCGCCUGGGGACCGAAGAUGGUAUCCCAGUGACCAACUCCUGGAACAUUGAAAAUCUUCACAAGUUUUACCGAUAAGGCGCAGUUGUCGGGACUCCCGGCAAGGGACCCUUUUGUACAAGUCGUGCCGACAAGGCAUGUAACCCUCUGUACAAAGCCAGUCGCAAACCCUGAGAAUAAAUAAAUGAAGCACUGGCGCCCUAAGUUAUGGCAUGCAUGCUAGGUUAAGUCUCUCCCUCGGUUAGGGUUGGUAGUGCUUAGCGGCGACUAACCCCUAGCCUAGAGGUCGAGUGUGCAUCUUUCUGUCCUCUUUGGUUUGCAGGGCACGUGGACACUUCUGCCGUGCUCCCCUUUUCCUAUACCCAAGAGUUAUCCCCUGGGUCGGAACUUGGUCGUAGUCGCGAUGGCAAGAAGAUGAACGAGGGGCCUAACUCUAAUUCGCCCCUGCCUCUGCCAAGAGCGUGAGAAUGGUCCACUGAAGUGGGGGACGGCGAGGCCUGUUGCCGGGCGACAAUGUUUAUCUUAAAAAUAACAAGGAUGCGUUCCUUGGCAUGGGCCUCGCUCACGCACGAAGAACCCGGCAAACACCCUUUUUUCAUAAAAAACGUCCCAUACAGGUACAGUUCAUACGAGAUGAAAAACAUGAGCAAGGGGAUUACAAGUUUUAAAUCUAACAAGUGCCCGCAGGCUUACAAACUAAAAAAUAUAAGAUGCCCAUAAUACCUUUCUUGUCCCUCUCCUCAGGAGAUGGAACAAGGAAGCAGGAGGGCGAAAGGAGCGCCUAGGCGAGGUGCGAGAAGCAGAAGGCACCAAGAGAGCAUCCUGGUGCCGGAGCUAGAAGAUGAGGCAGCGACCCGACAAUACGCGACGAAGGCGUCGGUGCCCGCGUCCUCCGACUUGACGGCCGCCGCCCGCCUUCUUCGCCUUCUCUGGCCCUCCUCCGCCAGCCACCCAAGGAGGCGAUGGGGAACGCGCCGAUGGAGAGCUUGACGUGGAAGGCCCUCGGCUGGGCGCGUGGCCGAGGGAGGGGCGACGCGGUCAGUCGGAGUCGGGGUCGGCGUCCCACCGCUCGACGCCCUCGUUAUCGCUGUCGUUGUCCUCCUCGUCACUCCCUCUCGAGGAGGAAUCUUCAUCGUCGGAGGAGCUCUCCACGCAGCACUUCAGGCGAGUACCAAGAUCUCCGAAGACCUUGACGGAGAGCAGGUCGUCCUCCAUUAACUUGAAGUAGAGGACGAGCCCCGCCGUCAGGCUGUGGAUGCGAGCGAACAUCUUCCAUCCGCGAUAGAGGUACAUGACGUGAGGGGCGGGGAAGUCGACGUCGACCCGCGUGCCGCCAUUCCCGCAGCCCCUCAUGUGCAACCUGAGGGUCUGGGGUGGAUCGAGGUCCAUCUCCCGAGCAAAUGGGGUAGGGAGACGGAGGCGGCGACGCAGUGGCCGGCGCAACCUGAUGAAGAACUCGCAGGGCUGGUCCCCGAUGUGUCGUCCAUCGGGGGAGGCAUCGCUGGCGGGGGCGAGGCCGGAGCUCCGCCCCGUCCCCCUCUUCCCUGAGUGCCACGGCGACCUCGGCCUCGCCCCCUCCCCCUUCCUGUCGUGGCUGCUUCCGCCGCCACAAGUUCUUGAGAAAGAGGAACUGCUACCUCUUGAGCACUGCGUUGGUUUUCCCUUGAAGAGGAAAGGGUGAUGCAUCAAAGUAGCGUAAGUAUUUCCCUCAGUUUUUGAGAAUCAAGGUAUCAAUCCAGUAGGAGGCCACGCACGAGUCCCUCGCACCUACACAAACAAAUAAAUCCUCGCAACCAACACGAUAAGGGGUUGUCAAUCCCUACAAGGUCACUUACGAGAGUGAGAUCUGAUAGAUAUGAUAAGAUAAUAUUUUUGGUAUUUUUGUGAUAAAGAUGCAAAGUAAAGAAAACAAAAUAAAAACGGCAAAAGAAAUAGCUUGUUGUUGGAAGAUUAAUAUGAUGGAAAAUAGACCCGAGGGCCAUAGGUUUCACUAGUGGCUUCUCUCAAGAGCAUAAGUAUUUUACGGUGGGUGAACAAAUUACUGUUGAGCAAUUGACAGAACUGAGAGGAGUUAUGAGAAUAUCUAGGUAUGAUCAUGUAUAUAGGCAUCACGUCCGAGACAAGUAGACCGACUCCUACCUGCAUCUACUACUAUUACUCCACACAUCGACCGCUAUCCAGCAUGCAUCUAGAGUAUUAAGUUCAUAAGAACAGAGUAAUGCUUUAAGCAAGAUGACAUGAUGUAGAGGGAUAAACUCAUGCAAUAUGAUAUAAACCCCAUCUUGUUAUCCUCGAUGGCAACAAUACAAUACGUGCCUUGCUGCCCCUACUGUCACUGGGAAAGGACACCGCAAGAUUGAACCCAAAGCUAAGCACUUCUCCCAUUGCAAGAAAGAUCAAUCUAGUAGGCCAAACCAAAAUGAUAAUUCGAAGAGACUUGCAAAGAUAACCAAUCAUACAUAAAAGAAUUCAGAAGAUUCAAAUAUUGUUCAUAGAUAAACUUGAUCAUAAACCCACAAUUCACCGGUCUCAACAAACACACCACAAAAAGAAGAUUACGUCGAAUAGAUCUCCACAAGAGAGGGGGAGAACAUUGUAUUGAGAUCCAAAAAGAGAGAGGAAGCCAUCUAGCUAAUAACUAUGGACUCGAAGGUCUGAGGUAAACUACUCACACAUCAUCGAAGAGGCUAUGGUGUUGAUGUAGAAUCCCUCCGUGAUAGAUGCCCCCUCCGGCGGAGCUCCGGAACAGGCUCCGUAUCUGGUAGUUUGGGGUACGUAGGUAUAUAUAGGAGGAAGGAGUACGUCGGUGGAGCAACGUGGGGCCCAUGAGGGUGGAGGGCGCGCCCAGGGGCGUAGGCGCGCCCCCCUACCUCGUGGCUUCCUGGUUGAAGUCUUGACGUAGGGUCCAAGUCCUCUGGAUCACGUUCGUUCCGAAAAUCACGUUCCCGAAGGUUUCAUUACGUUUGGACUCCGUUUGAUAUAGUUUUUCUGCGAAACUCUGAAAUAGGCAAAAACAGCAAUUCUGGGCUGGGCCUCCGGUUAAUAGGUUAGGCCCAAAAAUAAUAUAAAAGUGUAUAAUAAAGCCCAAUAAUGUCGAAAACUGAAGAUAAUAUAGCAUGGAGCAAUCAAAAAUUAUAGAUACGUUGGAGACGUAUCAAGCAUCCCCAAGCUUAAUUCCUGCUCGUCCUCGAGUAGGUAAAUGAUAAAACAGAAUUUUUGAUGUGGAAUGCUAUUUGGCAUAAUUCCAAUGUAAUCUUCCUAAUUGUGGUAUGAAUAUUCAGAUCCGAAAGAUUCAAGAUAAAAGUUCAAUAUUGCCGUAAAAAUAAUAAUACUUCAAGCAUACUAACUAAGCAAUUAUGUCCUCUCAAAAUAACAUGGCCAAAGAAAGUUCAUCCCUACAAAAUCAUAUAGUUUAGUCAUGCUCCAUUUUCGUCACGCAAGAAUGCUCUCAUCAUGCACAACCCCGUUGACAAGCCAAGCAAUUGUUUCAUACUUUAGUAAUCUCCAACUUUUUCAACCUUCACGCAAUACAUGAGCGUGAGCCAUGGAUAUAGCACUAUGGGUGUACUAGAAUAUGAUGAUGGGGGUUAUGUGGAGAUGACAAAAAAGGAUAAAGUCUCACAUCAACAAGGCUAAUCAAUGAGCUAUGGAGAUGCCCAUCGAUUGAGGUUAAUGCAAGGAGUAGGGAUUGCCGUGCAACGGAUGCACUAGAGCUAUAAAUAUAUGAAAGCUCAGCAAAAGAAACUAGGUGGGUGUGCAUCCAACUUGCUUGCUCACGAAGACCUAGGGCACUUGAGGAGGCCCAUUGUUGGAAUAUACAAGCCAAGUUCUAUAAUGAAAAAUUCCCACUAGUAUAUGAAAGUGACAAAACAAGAGACUCUCUAUCAUGAAGAUUAUGGUGCUACUUUGAAGCACAAGUGUGGUAAAAGGAUAGUAACAUUGUCCCUUCUCUCUUUUUCUCUCAUUUUUUUGGGCCUUCUCUUUUUUGUAUGGUCUUUCUCGUUUUUUUUAUUCAUCACUUGGGACAAUGCUCAAGAAAAUGAUCAUCAUCACACUUCUAUUUAUUUACAACUCAAUGAUUACAACUCGAUACUAGAACAGAGUAUGUCUCUAUAUGAAUGCCUAAUGCGGUGUACCGGGAUAUGCAACGAACCAAGAGUGGCAUGUAGGAAAGAAUUACGAACGGUGGCUUUGCCACAAAUACUAUGUCAACUACAUGAUCAUGCAAAUGGUGGCUUUGCCACAAAUAAUAUUACGAACGUGUCAUGAUAAACGGAACGGUGGAAAGUUGGAUGGCAAUACAUCUCGCAAUGGCUAUGGAAAUGCCAUAAUAGGUAGGUAUGGUGGCUGUUUUGAGGAAGAUACAACGAGGUUUAUGUGUGAAAGAGCAUAUCAUAUCACGGGGUUUGGAUGCACCGGCGAAGUUUGCACCAACUCUCAAUGUGAGAAAGGGCAAUGCACGGUACCGAAGAGGCUAGCAAUGAUGGAAAGGUGAGAGUGCGUAUAAUCCAUGGACUCAACAUUAGUCAUAAAGAACUCACAUACUUAAUGCAAAAAUCUACAAGUCAUCAAAAACCAAGCACUACGCGCAUGCUCCUAGGGGGAUAGAUUGGUAGGAAAAGACCAUCGCUCGUCCCCGACCGCCACUCAUAAGGAGCACAAUCAAAGAACACCUCAUGUUUCAAAUUUGUUACAUAACGUUUACCAUACGUGCAUGCUACGGGACUUGCAAACUUGAACACAAGUAUUUCUCAAAUUAACAACUACUCAACUAGCACAACUUUGAUAUCACUACCUUCACGUCUCAAAACAAUCAUCAAGCAUCAAACUUCUCUUAGUAUUCAACACACUCAUAAGAAAGUUUUUACUAAUCUUGAAUACCUAGCAUAUUAGGAUUAUUUAAGCAAAUUACCAUGCUAUUUGAGACUCUCAAAAUAAUUUAAGUGAAGCAUGAGAGAUCAAUAGUUUCUAUAAAACAAAUACACCACCGUGCUCUAAAAGAUAUAAGUGAAGUACUAGAGCAAAAACUAUAUAACUCAAAAGAUAUAAGUGAAGCACAUAGAGUAUUCUAAUAAUUUCUGAAUCAUGUGUGUCUCUCUCAAAAGGUGUGUACAUGAAAUAUGAAUGUGGUAAACUAAAAAACUAAAGACUCGAAUAAUACAAUACGCUCCAAGAAAAACACAUAUCAUGUGGUGAAUAAAAAUAUAGCUCACAGUAAAGUUACCGAUGGAAGUAGACGAAAGAGGGGAUGCCUUCCGGGGCAUCCCAAAGCUUUGGCUUUUAGGUGUCCUUAGAUUAUCUUGGGGGUGACAUGGGCAUCCCCAAGCUUAGGCUCUUGCCACUCCUUGUUCCAUAAUCCAUCAAAUCUUUCACCCAAAACUUGAAAACUUCACAACACAAAACUAAGCAGAAAAUCUCGUGAGCUCCGUUAGCGAAAGAAAACAAAAGACCACUUCAAGGUACUGUAAUGAACUCAUUCUUUAUUUAUAUUCAUGUUAAACCUACUGUAUUCCAACUUCUCUCUGGUUUAUAAACUAUUUUACUAGCCAUAGAUUCAUCAAAAUAAGCAAACAACACACGAAAAACAGAAUCUGUCAAGAACAGAACCGUUUGUAGUAAUCUGUGACUAACACAAACUUCUGGAACUCCAAAAAAUCAGAUAAAAUAGGACGACCUAUACAAUUUGUUUAUUGAUCAGCAUAAUCUCAUAGUCGAAGGAAUAUGUAUUUGACAUCAAGAAAGCAAUGUCAAUAAACUGAACGACCAAUAUGCUAAGCUAACAUAUGGGUCUUGUCCAUCACAUCAUUCUCCUAAUGAUGUGAUCCCGUUAUCAAAUGACAACACAUGUCUAUGGUUAGGAAAUCUUAACCAUCUUUGAUCAAUGAGCUAGUCUAGUAGAGGCUUACUAGGGACACGGUAUUUGUUUAUUUAUUCACACAUGUAUUUAAGUUUCUGACCAAUACAAUUCUAGCAUGAAUAAUAAACCUUUAUCAUGAAUAAGGAAAUAUAAAAUAACAACUUUAUUAUUGCCACUAGGGCAUAUUUCCUUCAAAUUUGAGCACAGUAAAUUCAUUGGAACAAAAAUCUAUAUAUAUGGCGAGCGCUAUUCUCUGCCCGCCACAACUACAUUAUGUUGCAAUGCCGGCCAGCGGGGAGUGCCCGCCACUGCAGAGAUUCUAACAGGGGCGGGUGAUAACCCACAACUAUAUGGGGUCGCAACAGUUUUCAAGGCUGGACUAUUCAACCCAAAUUUAUUGAUUCGACACAAGGGGAGCCAAAGAAUAUUCACGAGUAUUAGUAGUUGAGUUAUCAAUUCAACCACACCUGUAAGACUUAAUAUAUGCGGCAAAGUAUCUGGUAGCAAAGUAGUAUGGAAGUAACAGUAACACUGGCAAAAGUAACAGUAGCUCUUUUGUAGUGAUUGUAACAGCAGUAGUAAAUGAAAGUAACUUAGCAAAGAUCAAUAUAUGAAAAGCGCAUAGGCAUUGGAUCGGCAAUGAUAAUUGUGUUGGAUAAUAUUCAUCAUGUAGCAGUUAUAACCUAGGAUGACACAGAACUAGCUCCAAUUCAUCAAUAUAAUGUAGGCAUGUAUUCCAUAUAUAGUCAUACGUUCUUAUGGAAAACCAACUUCCAUGAAAUCUUUUGUCCUACACUCCCGUGGCAGCGGGUCCUAAUGGAAACUAAGGGAUAUUAAGGCCUCCUUUAAAUAGAGAACCGGACCAAAGUAUUAGCAAUUAGUGAAUACAUGAACUCCUCAAACUAUGGUAAUCACCAGAAAGAAUCCCAAUUAUUGUCACCUUGGGGUAUGCGGAUCAUAACUCGUAAUAGGUGCCAACGACUUUUAAGAUAGGAUCAAGAACACAAAUAUAUUCAUGAAAACAUAAUAGGUUCAUAUCUGAAAUCAUGCCACUCGGGCCCUAGUGACAAGCAUUAAGCAUAGCAAACUCAUAGCAACAUGAAUCUCAGAACAUACUGGAUACUAUGGAUCAAACCCAAACAAAACUAACUUGAUUACAUGAUAAAUCUCAUCCAACCCAUCACCAUCCAGCAAGCCUACGAUGGAAUUACUCACGCAUGGCAGUGAGCAUCAUGAAAUUGGUGAUGGAGGAAGGUUGGUGAUGAUGACGGCGACGAAUCCCCCUCUCUGGAGCCCCGUACGGACUCCAUAUCAGCCCUCCCGAUGAAAAACAGGAGGCGGCAGCGGCUCCGUAUCGUAAAACGCGAUGAAUCGUUCUCUCUGAUUUUUUCUCCCUGAAUGGGAACUUAUGGAGUUGGAGUUAGGGUCGGAGGAAGUCCACUGUUCCCACAAGCCUGUAGGGCACGCCGCCAGGGCUUGUGGCCUCUGGGUGGCCCCCUCUGGUAACUUCUUGUGCUAGUAUUUUUUAUAUAUUACAUAAAAAUUCUCCAUAAAUUUUCAGGUCAAUCCGAGAACUUUGAUUUCCGCACAAAAAUAACACCAUGGCAAUUCUGCUAAAAACAGUGUCAGUCCGGAUUAGUUCCAUUCAAAUCAUGCAAAUUAGAGUAAAAAACAAGGGCAAAAUAGUUUGAAAAAGUAGAUACAAUGGAGACGUAUCAACUCCACUAAGCUUAACCCAUUGCUUGUGCUCAAGCAAUUUAGUUAAUAAACUGAAAGUGACAAAGAAAAACUUUUACAAACUCUGUUUGAUCUUGUUGUUGCAAAUAUGUCUAGCCAAUAUUCAGGUUUUCAGCAAAGAUUAUGAACUAACCAUAUUAACAAGAACAUUUACGUCUCACAUUUACUCAUAACAAUGGCAUAAUCAACUAGCGAGCGAUAAUAAUAAAUCUCAGAUGACAACACUUUUUCAAAACAAUCAUGAUAUGAUAUAACAAAAUGGUAUCUCGCUAGCCCUUUCUGAGACCGCAAAAGAUAAAUGCAGAGCACCCCUAAAGAGAAAGGACUGACUAGACAUUAUAAUUAAUGGCAAAAGAGAUCCAGUCACACUCAUACUCAACAUCAAUUAAAAACAAAGCAUAUAAAUGGCAGUGGUGCUCUCCAGCUGGUGCUUUUUAUGAGAGGAUGAUGACUCAACAAUAAAAGUAAAUAGAUAGGCCCUUCGCAGAGGGAAGUACGGAUUUGCAGAGGUGCUAGAGCAAGAAGCUUUUAAAACAUAGAUGAAUAUAAUUUUGAGCGGUAUGCUUUCAUUGUUGACAUAACAACCAAGAGAUCUCACUAUCUUCCAUGCUAGAUACAUUAUAGUCUGUUCCCAAACAAAAUGGUAAAGUUUUUACUCCCCCCCCCCCCACCAACAAUCACACUCGAGUGCUAGCCGAAUCCACGGGUACCGUCCAUACCAACAACAGUCCUGGGGGAGUUUUGUUUUAUGAUUAUAUUUUGAUUUGACUUUGAGCAUGGAACUGGGCAUCCUGAAUACCAGUCACAUUAUAUAGAAUGACAAGUGAAUAAACACUCAUCGUGAGAAUAACCCACCUAGCAUGGAAGAUACUGACAGCCCCCAAUUGCUAGAUCAGCGAUUUGGGCAUACAAAACAUAUCAUUAUUUGAAGAUUUAGAGUUUGGCACGUGCAAAUUUACUUUGAAACGGCAGGUAAAUACCGUAUAUAGGUAGGUAUGGUGGACUCAUAUGGAACAACUUUGGGUUUAAGGAAGCGGAUGCACAAGCAGUAUUCCCGCUUAGUACGAGUGAAGGUUAGCAAAAGAUUGAGAGCAAUAACGGUCAUAAACAAGCAUUGAGGUUAAGCAACAUUGAGUGAAAGCACGAGUAGGAUAUAAAUCACCAUGAACAUAAAUAUCGUGGAGAGCAACAACGGUCAUAAACAUGCAUUUUGAUUAAACUACAUGCGUGAACAUGUGCCAAGUCAAGCCACUUGAAUUGUUCAGAAGAGGAUACCAUCCUAUCAUACUACAUCAUAACCAUUUUAAAUACAUGUUGAAAUGCAAGAUAAACGAUUAUCCACUCCUAGCUAACUAAGCAUAGCAUGAGUAACAAUAAUCUCUAAUUGUCAUUGCAAAAAUGUUUCAUUCAUAGUGGGCUGAAUCAACAACGACGAGCUAAUCAUAUUUACAAAAACCAAAUAGGUCGGGUUCAUACCAGCUUCUUUCCAUCUCAAUCAUUUCGUCAUAUAUAAUCAUUAUUGCCUUUGACUUGCACGAUAGAACGGUGUGGAUAAUAAUAAGAGUGCACGUGCAUUGGACUAGGCUGGAAUCUGCAAACAUUUACUCAAAGGAGAAGACAAGGUAAUAUGGGCUCUUUGUUAGAUCAACAAUAAUGCAUAUGAGAGCGACUCAACAUUUUCAUCGUGGUCUUCUCCUUACGAUCCAAAGAAAAACAAAACAAUUUCAAAGAAACAAAAUGAAAUAUUUUUGAAGUUUUUUUUCUGAAGCAAGCAAAAACGAAAAUGAGAAAAACUAUUUACACGGGAAAGCUCCCAACAAGCAAAAGAAGAACGGGAAAUCUUUUUGGGUUUUCUUUUAAUGCUACAACUAAUUAAACUAGAAAGAAAAACUACAAAGAAGUGAGAAAUAUUUUUGGAUUUUAUCAAAGGUUUUCAAACACACAAGAAGAAAGCAAGAAAAAUAAACUAACAUGGAUAAUACAAUGAAAAAGUAUGAACACCGACAACUGGAAUGAGUGUGUGAACAUGAAUGUAAUGUCGGUGAGAAAUACGUACUCCCCAAGCUUUGGCUUUAGGCCUAAGUUCGUCUAGGGUCACAGCUAGAAAUAACUCUCUCCUCGAUACGGUGGAGGGUCCUUAGUGUUCCACUGGUUGGAGAGCUCCUGUGGCUUCCACUGAUAAACAGGCUCCUGAUACGGAUCAGGAACAGGUACUGGCUCAGGUGCUGGAGGUUGUGUCAGCCUCCAGUAAGUGUAAAUGUACUCGGGCAUAAUGGUGUACCUUCCCGAACGAAUAUCGAACAAAGAAGGUGCAGGCAAGACAAUAAUCUCACAAGUGCCCUAACUAAAUACUAGGUUGUAGAGGAGUCUAUUAUCAUCGUCCUUUUUAAUAAAAUCGUGUGCUACCAUACUAGCAUAGUUUAAAUAUUUAGUUGGUAACAACAUAUCCUCCUCCUCAUCAUGCCUAAUGGGUAUAUCAAAAUGUUUAGAAAGACGGGAGGCAUAGAUACCUCCAAAUAAAGUACCCUUCGAGUGAUUUGUGUUUAACCGUCUGUCGGUGUACAAAAGUAGGGCUCUCCUUUUGACCCCUUUAUUUGUGUACGGGCAGUCAGAGCAGCGCGCCGCGGCCGCACAUAGCAGGGCAGAGGAGGGAAGCCGGAGGGAAACCGAAGCACAAGGCAAACAAGGCGACGCCAAGACCAGAAGCAUAAAAGAGCAAAGGGGCGAGGUGGACUCCCCCGGCAGGACCCUUGUCGGGGCAGCCUCCGCGGCCCCGUCAAGAGCCUUGCCGGGGCAACUUGCCCAACGUCAGCGGAGUGAGCCACCCUUGAGCCCAAGGGUUCCAAACGCCGCCAACAACUACAUUGAACCCAGGGCUCGGGAGGCACCUCUGUGGUGGCAUGCAGAUCUUUGUCAAGAUCAUAAAUACAUGAGGUCAGAUGAGAACCAGAAGACGACGACCCUCGGCGGGAUUCUAGCCGAGGAAAUCCACAAGACCCUCGGCAAGCGCCUUGCCGGGGACGACCGCAGCGCCACGGCAAGACCCUUGCUGGGCCCCUUGGCAAGACCCUUGCCGAGGGAAUCAGCAGGGCCACAGCCAGGCCCGCACCAGCCAAGACUCCACCGCCGUCCCCAAGCAGCUGCUAGCCCAACCAGCUGGGCAGGCACCUGCGUGGCGACGGGCGGCCACUACACCGACCCAGCAAGCACCUGCGUGGUGGCAUGCAGAUCUUCGUGAAGGCUCCACCACCGCGCCACCUCAGCAGCCUGCCUGCCCACAUGGCGCUUCACGCAUCACUGGCCUGGGCGCAUGUCGAAGCGAGGCAGAGCGGCGGCGGACGGGUCGGGCCUCGUUCCCGUCCCCGAUAAAACUAAUGGACACCUAAGUAGCACAUUUAAUGCGCUUUGUUCUCGUUCCCAUGCGAUAAGCUCGCGCACUGUACACCUUUCCACCUCCUGUGUGCCACUGUGGAGACCCCUUUUGCCUAUAAAAGGAGGCCCGAGGCGACUAGGAGAAGGAUUUGGCUCUUUGGAACUACGCAACCACCAUAGCUAGUUUGAGAGCUCAGGAACACUUUGAAAUACACACCAAAGCAGGACUAGGGUAUUACCAAUCCUCGCGGCCCGAACCUGGGUAAACGAUCUUUGUGCUAGCUCCUAAACCUGCUCUUCUCACAACCCCGCGCCCGCCAACCGUAGAAGGGAUCCCAGUGAUCCCAUAGGUGUCAUUUCCCCGACAUCUUUGGCGCACGAGGUAGGCGUGACGCGGUUGUGAGAAUCUGGUCUAGCAGUUAGCCUAGCAGUUCUUCAUCACCAUGGCUCCCAAGAAAAGGACGAUCACGGCGAUCGGCUCGACGGGAGCCGAACGGCGCGUGCCAGUGCGGGCGAGCAGCGCGCCAGUCGCAGACAAAACCCGAGCCGCGGCCCGCGAGCACCAGCAUUGCUCUGGCAGUCAGAGCCUAGCGAGCGGCAUCGUUCAUGCGCUAGACGAUGGGCCGCACACCGCCAAAUCCAAAGACGGGGCUGGGCCCCCCGCAGGCGGCGCGGGGCCCUCCAGGGGUGUCGCUGGGCCACCUACGGGUGGCGCAGCAACCUCCAAGACGCCUACACCGGCGACCACGAUCCGCUCUUCCCAUGGUGCGCACGACGAGCAGCGCCACCAUGCUGGGGACCCCGGACGCCGCCGUGGGAAGAGUCAUGUGCCUCAUUCACGGGACGAAGGAGUCCAGCAUGCCCGUCAAAGUGCUGGCAAAAAUGGCACGCAGCCGUUGGGCCGUGAUAGAGCUCCUUCUAACGUGGUUAGAAUUCGAAGCACGCCACGGUCCACGCAGCUCUCGCCGCCACCCACACCAGCAAAAGCUUUGGCGCUUGCGCAGCUACUCCUCGACUUCCCUCCCACUGCGGAAAAGCUCGAUGAGUGGAGGGCCACCAUCCGGAGCCUUGUCAGCGUCGCCAACCAAGACAAGCCACGACCAGCGGGGCCCUCAGGCCGUCGCUCCGUCGAACCACCGCAUGCCAGCGGUGGAGGGGCCGGAGGUGCUGCGGCCACGGUGCACUCUCCUCCUCCACGGCAGCCACCACGGAUGUCGAUCCGUCGUGAUGACGCUUGUGAUAACAUUUCCAUAGCGUCGUCCGACCCACGGACCCACUGCGACCAGCGCCAUGUUCUUUAGGAACGAGCCCAUGAAGACGCUCGAACCACCAUCGAGCACCGGUGCGAUACACGCCACCAGUCAGAUAGGCGGGUGGGGCCUGCUAUGGACCACCCAGCACCGGGAGGCUCCGGCGACCUACCUUACGAGGUGGGUUGCCCAGCCUUUACCCGUGAGCUGCGGCAGUUCCAGUGGCCAUCCCACCGCAUGUUCAAGCCCGACGUCAGCGAGAAGUACAAUGGAAAGACCCAUCCAUCAGAGUUCCUCAGCAUCUACACCAUCGCAAUGCAGGCCGCUGGAGCUCGUGAUGACAAGGUGCUUGACAAUUACUUCCCGUUGGCCCUGAAGCCCAAUGUCAUGUCUUGGUUGAUGCACUUGCUGGCGGAUUCCAUUUCUUCUUGGUCGUAUCUGUGUCAUGAGUUUGUUGGUUCCUUCACUUGAGGCCACCAAGCUCAUGGCCAGGCGAGUGAUUUGCAUAUCAUUCCCCAGAAGGAAGGUGAAAACCUGCGGAAGUACAUACAGAGGUUCCGCCGAGUGCAAUACAACAUCACAGAUGUUCAUCCCGCCGCCGUGAUCAGCACAUUCCAUCAGAAUGUGCGUAACUGCAAGAUGCGCGAAGAGCUGGCGAUGAACAAGGUCAAGGAUGUGGCCGAACUUUAUGUUCUGGCUGAUAGAUGCGCCUGGGCUGAAGAGGGAAGGAAGUACCCCGGUGAGGACGCUGGCACGGAAACCAACUCUAUGGACGAAGAAACCGCCGCCCCGACAAAGAAGGGCCGGCGCCGCAACAGGAAACGCAAGGAUAAGACCGUGCUUGCCGUCGAGGGAUCCGAGGACACCGGCGCUGCCAAGAAGGCCAAGGCAGACGACCCCGGCAAGGAAAUAGCCGGGUGCGCCGCUUGCCGGGCCUUGGCGGCUGCCGACAAGCCAGGAGGCUCCGGCAAGCAAUACUGCAAGAUCCACCGCACCAAGGGCCACGACCUCUAGAACUGCCGGCAAGUUGAGCUGCUUGCUGAGAAGCAAAAAGCUGAGUAUGAGAGGCGGGACAAGGAGAAGGGCCAGGACGGUGCCGAGGGAUCCGACAAGAAGCAUGGCGGCCAAGGAGGUCGCCGCGGCAAGGAUAACCAACAAGAGAGGCCUGCUCGGGGCCGCGACAAGAAGCAGGAAGACGAUGAUCAUGACGAGGACGACGAGUCCGGAUAGCAUGAGUUCCAGAAGGCUUUGGAGGCCAUGUGCGUCGAUGGUGGCGCCUCGCUGCAUACUUCUCACCGCCGUCUCAAGCAGUGGGCGCGUGAGAUCACAGCAGCGGAGCCGGCGUUCGACGCUCAGAAGCCGCUAAAGUGGUCCAGCAUACCUAUCAUCUUUGACGCCGAGGACCACCCUCAUUGCACCACUGCGGUUGGGUGUUUUCCAUUGUUGGUCUCACCAACGAUACGCAACCUCAAGGUGAACAAGAUGCUGGUUGACAGCGGGGCCGGUCUGAACUUGAUCUCACCCGUUUUGAUCAAAAGGCUGCAAAUUCCUGAUAGAGACCUCGAAGAGACGGGCACGUUUCAAGGGGUCAACCCGGGAAGGAGUCAGCCGAAGGGCAAGGUCACGCUGCCUGUGACGUUUGGAGGCAAGCUGAACUACAUGACGGAGAGGAUUGUCUUCGAUGUAGCCGAGAUCCCCUUGCCCUACAACGGGAUCCUGGGCCGCCCGGCACUAGCCAAGUUCAUGGCGGCAUCACAUUACGCCUACAACACGCUGAAGAUGCCUGGGCCGAUGACCAUCAUCACCGUUCCUUGCGACAAGAAGGAUGUGCUGAUCUGCGCCGACCUACUCUACCGGGAAGCAGUUGUUGCAGCUGCCGCCAAGGCACUUGCUCCUGCCGCUGAAGCCCUCUCGCACCCACUCCGGCAAGCGCACCUCUUCUGACUGUUGUGCUACCAUCGAGGACAUGCCAGAGAGCUCCACUGGCAAGAGCAAGAAAUCCAGAGUUGCGCCACUAGAGACCAAGAAGGUGUCUGUCAAGGAGGAUGGCAAGGGAGGGGCUUUCACCAUAAGCUCCACCCUCGAUAGCAAAUAGGAAAGCGUGCUCGUCACUUUCCUGCGGGCGAAUGUCGAUGUGUUUGCAUGGCAAGCAUCUGACAUCCCCGGUGUUCCCAGGGAAGCGAUUGAGCACCGUCUUGCCGUCUGCCCCCAUGCGCGACCCGUCAAGCAGAAGGUCAGGAGCAAGCUUUGGAAUGGCAGGAGUUCAUCACAGAGGAUAUCAGGAAGUUGGAAGCAGCAGGCUUGGUGAGGGGAGUGCUCCAUCGGACGUGGUUGGCCAAUCUGGUGGUGACGUGCAAGGCAAACGGGUAGUGGAGGCUGUGUAUUGACUACACAUAUAUCAAUAAGGCUUGUCCUAAGGACCCCUUCCCCUUGCCGCGCAUCGACCAGAUUGUUGACUCCACGGCGGGUGUGAUCUGUUGUCAUUCCUCGACGCCUACUCGGGUUACCACCAGAUCUUCAUGACAAGAGAUGACAAAGAGAGGACAGCAUUCAUCACCCCAUGUGGUACGUAUUGCUUUUUACGGAUGCCUUUCGGGUUGAAGAGUGCUGGCUCAACGUUUGUAAGGGCAGUCCAAAUUGGUUUUGAGCCCCAGCUACAUAGAAAUAUGGAAGCUUAUAUGGAUGACGUAGUGGUCAAAACCAAGGACAAGGCAACUCUUGUACAAGACUUAGAAGAGACGUUAGCCAACCUACGCAAGAUCAGCCUCAAGCUGAACCAUGAGAAGUGUGUCUUCGGCGUUUCGUCCGGCAAACUUCUCGGGUUCUUUGUGUCGCAGCGUGGGAUCGAGGCAAACCCAGACAAGAUCAAGGCUAUCAAGUAGAUUGAGGCGCCCAAGCGGAUCAAGGAUGUGCGUCGGCUCACUGGCUGCGUUGCCGCCAUGAGCCAAUUCAUCUCCAUGUCUGCCGAGCGCGCCCUUCACUUUUUCAAGAUUUUGAAAAAGGCGGGCCCAAUGGAGUGGACCCCGGAGGCCGAAGCAGCACUGCAGGAUCUGAAGAAAUACCUCUCUUCUACACCGGUACUGGUGGCGCCUGAUACGUCUCCAACGUAUCUAUAAUUUAUGAAGUAUUCAUGCUAUUAUAUUAUCUGUUUUGGAUGUUUAUGGGCUUUAUUAAACACUUUUGUAUUUUUUUGGGACUAACCUAUUAACCUAGAGGCCAGUGCAUGUUCCUAUGUUUUCCCUUGUUUCAGUGUUUCGAAGAAAAGGAAUAUCAAACGGAGUCGAAACGGAAUGAAACCUUCUGGAGAAGUUAUUUCUAGAAAGAAAGCAACCCGGGAGACUUGGAGUCCAUGUCAAGAAAUAAACGAGGAAGGCACGAGGCAGGGGGCGCGCCCUCCACCCUCGUCGGCCCCUCGUGGCUCCUCCGACGUAUUUCUUCCGCCUAUAUAUAUAUCCAUAUUUCCUAAAACGAUUGGGUAACAGAAUAGAUCGGGAGUUCCGCCGCGGCAAGCGUCUGUAGCCACCAAAAACCAAUCGGGACCCUGUUCCGGCACCCCGCCGGAGGGGGGAGCCCUCAACGGUGGCCAUCUUCAUCAUCCCGGCGCUCUCCAUGACGAGGAGGGAGUAGUUCACCCUUGGGGCUGAGGGUAUGUACCAGUAGCUAUGUGUUUGAUCUCUCUCUCUCUCUCUCUCUCGUGUUCUUGAUUUGGCACGAUCUUGAUGUAUCGCGAGCUUUGCUAUUAUAGUUGGAUCUUAUGUUGCUUCUCCCCCUAUACUCUCUUGUAAUGGAUUUAGUUUUCCCUUUGAAGUUAUCUUAUCGGAUUGAGUCUUUAAUGAUUUGAGAACACUUGAUGUAUGUCUUGCGUGGGAUAACCAUGGUGACAAUGGGUUUUUCUAUUGAUUCACUUGAUGUAUGUUUUGGUGAUCAACUUUCGGGUUCCGCCCAUGAACCUAUGCAUAUGGGGUUGGCACACGUUUUCGUCUUGACUCUCCGGUAGAAACUUUGGGGCACUCUUUGAGGUUCUAUGUGUUGGUUGAACAGAUGAAUCUGAGAUUGUGUGAUGCAUAUCGUAUAAUCAUACCCACGGAUACUUGAGGUGACAUUGCAGUAUCUAGGUGACAUUAGGGUUUUGGUUGAUGUGUGUCUUAAGGUGUUAUUUUACUACGAACUCUAGGGCUGUUUGUGGCACUUAUAGGAAUAGCCCAAUGGAUUGAUCGGAAAGAAUAACUUUGAGGUGGUUUCGUACCCUACCGUAAUCUCUUCGUUUGUUCUCCACUAUUAGUGACUUUGGAGUGACUCUUUGUUGCAUGUUGAGGGAUAGUUAUAUGAUCCAAUUAUGUUAUUAUUGUUGAGAGAACUUACACUAGUGAAAGUAUGAACCCUAGGCCUUGUUUCCUAGCAUUGCAAUACCGUUUGUGCUCACUUUUAUCAUUAGUUACCUUGCUGUUUUUAUAUUUUCAGAUUACAAAAACCUAUAUCUACCAUCCAUAUUGCACUUGUAUCACCAUCUCUUCGCCGAACUAGUGUACCAAUACAAUUUACCAUUGUAUUGGGUGUGUUGGGGACACAAGAGACUCUUUGUUAUUUGGUUGCAGGGUUGCUCGAGAGAGACCAUCUUCAUCCUACGCCUCCCACGGAUUGAUAAACCUUAGGUCAUCCACUUGAGGGAAAUUUGCUAUUGUCCUACAAACCUCUGCACUUGGAGGCCCAACAACGUCUACAAGAAGAAGGUUGCGUAGUAGACAUCAAGCUCUUUUCUGGCGCCGUUGCCGGGGAGGUGAGUGCUUGAAGGUAUAUCUUUAGAUCUUGCAAUCGAAUCUUUUUGUUUCUUGUUUUAGCACUAGUUUAGUUUAUAAAAGAAAACUACAAAAAAAUGGAAUUAAGUUUGCCUCAUACGCUUCACCUUUUUAAUAUCUUUCGUGAGUGUGAUGGAAAGGAAAAUUAUGCCAAAGUGUUAGAAGAAGAAUGCAUUAAAAUGUUUGGCACUAAAUUUUUGAAUGAUGAGCAUGAUUGCAAUGUUGUUAGUAUGAACUCCUUGAAUAUCCUUGGUACUAACGAUGAUUGCACUAGUCAUGAUGAAAAUGUCUCCUAUAAACAUGUCAAUUUUGGUGGAGUGCAUUGGGUUUGCAAAUAGACACUGAAUAGGGAAGAUAGAUAUUGCAAGAGGCAUAAGCAUUUAGAAACUAAAUUGUUGCAAGAAAGGCUAGAUGUUUGCGCUGAAAAUUUAAUUUUUCUUGGCCAUACUUGUGAACUUUGCAAUGAACGAGGUCAUUUAACUAUCCGAUGCAAAUUGUUUCAUGAUCUAAUCGUGUCCAAAAAUUGGGAUGACUUGAUUUCCCUUGCACAUUAUAAUGAACUUAGUUUGCUUAUGGGUUAUGAAGAAAUGAAACGUAUAACUAACUAUCUUCCAGUAUUUGCCCGUGACAAACUUGUUGGUUUUGAUCUAGAGGAAAUUUAUAUGUAUUGUGCGGUGAAUUGCAUUGAAAAUCCUUAUAUUUCCAAUUACAUAAAGAAAAGAAAACAAAUAGAAGAUGAAGAGAAUGCUAACGAAAGGGAAGAGACUUCCCGAUAUUCUCCUAUUAUUUCUUAUGAUAAAUCAGGUAACGAGGAGGAGCCUUCUAUUCAACCAAUCUCAUUAAUAAGGAACUCCAAAAAGAGGAUUGAAUCCACACAUGAUGUGGUGAAGAAGAAGAAAAGAAAAAGGAGGAGAGGUAAAAAGAUAUCUCUCCCAAAUAAUGUUGCUCCUAUUAUUGUUGUGCCUCAUGAAAAUGAAGAUGAUGCACUUGAUGAUGAUCUCGUUAUGCCUAUUGCUUGUUGUGAUGAUUAUGAUUGGGAAGAUAAUGAUACUUCUUAUGAUCUUGAAUAUCUUUUUGGCACUUGCUUGGAAUAUGAUAAUUGCUAUACUAUUGGCGUUAUCCAUACUAUUAAUGAUGAGAGUGAUUAUGCUUAUGAUAUAAAAAGGCCCAAGCUUGGGGAUGCUAUGUUUGAUGAUUAUGAUGUUCUUGAGAAUAUAUUUGCUGAAAUUAAUAUUUGUCCCAAGCUUGGGGAUGCUAUGUUUAAUGAAGAUGAUAUUUUUAACCUCCCAAGUUUUGAUAUGCAAAGUUGUUAUGAUGAUGGCAUGCCUUCUACCUAUGAUGAUUAUAUUGAUGAAAGUGGGUUUGGAAGAGUGUCAACUUUAGGAAGUAAUGAUCCCACUAUUUUGGAGGAUGCUGAAUCUUAUAAUAUUUAUGGAAGUGGAUUUGGAGAGGUCAUGACUUUAUUUAGUGAUGUAUCCACUAUUUCGGAAGAGGUUUCAAUUGAUUAUGAUGAGAACAAAGUUGCUACUUAUGAUGAUUAUUGUGAUGAAACUUAUGCUAUAAAGACUAGUGAUGAUUAUAUUUAUAAAACUUGUCAUGAUUAUGAGUACCCUUUCUCUGAAUGUUACUCUUUUAAUGUGGAAACAAUUUAUAGUAUUCAAGUCUCUUAUGAUACUCCCACUAUUCCGAAUGAGAAGAAUUUUGCUUAUGUGGAGAGUAAUAAAAUUUCUAUGCUAGUAGAUCAUGAAAAUAAUGUUUUAGGUGAUGGUUAUAUUUUUGAAUUCAUUCAUGAUGAUACUGAAAAUUAUUAUGAGGGAGGAAUAUAUGCUUGUAGGAAUUGCAAUAAUAUCAGGUUUCCUCUCUAUGUGCUUAAGGUUUUGAAGUUAUGCUUGUUUUGCCUUCCUAUGCAAGUUGAUUCUUGUUCCCAUAAGUUGUUUGCUCACAAAAUCCCUAUGCAUAGGAAGUGGGUUAGACUUAAAUGUGCUAGUCAUAUUCUUCAUGAUGCUCUCUUUAUGUUUCAAUUCAUAUCUUUUAUGUGAGCAUCAUUGAAAUCAUCAUGCCUAGCUAGGGGCGUUAAACGAUAGCGCUUGUUGGGAGGCAACCCAAUUUUAUUUUAGUUUCUUGCUUUUUGGUUCUGUUUAGGAAUAAAGAAUCCAUCUAGCUUCUGUUUAGAUGUGGUUUUGUGCUUUAAUUAGUGUUUGUGCCAAGUGGAACCUUUGGGAAGGCUUGGGUGAAGUCUUUAUGAUCAUGCUGUAAAAAAACAGAAACUUUAGCGCUCACGAGUUUAGCUAAAACUUUGUACUGGAAAGAGCUAUUUAGUUGAUUAUUUUUGCAGAUGAUUACUAGACAAAUUCCUCAGGUCUACCAAUUUAUUAUAGAAUUUUUGGAGUUCCAGAAGUUUACGUUUGAUACAUAUUACUACAGACUGUUCUGUUUUUGACAGCUUCUGUUUUUCGUGUGUUGUUUGCUUAUUUUGAUGAAUCUAUGGCUAGUAAAAUAGUUUAUAAACCAUAGAGAAGUUGGAAUACAGUAGAUUUAACACCAAUACAAAUCAAUAAUGAGUUCAUUACACUACCUUGAAGAGGUGUUUUGUUUUCUUUCGCUAACGGAGCUUACGAGUUUUCUGUUGAGUUUUGUGUUGUGAAGUUUUCAAGUUUUGGGUGAAGAUUCGAUGGACUAUGGAAUAAGGACAACCAAGAGCCUAAGAGUGGGGAUGCCCCGGAUGGCAUCCCCAGUUUCGUCUUCGUUCAUCGGUAACUUUACUUGGAGCUAUAUUUUUAUUCCGACAUGAUAUGUGUUUUGCUUGGAGCGUCAUUUUAUUUUCUUUAGCUUUGUUGGUGUUUGAAUAAAAUACCAAGAUCUGAAAUUCUUAAAUGAGAGAAAGUCUUCACAUAGCUACAUAAUUAUUUAACUACUCAUUGAUCUUCACUUAUAUCUUUUUGGAGUAAUUUGUCAUUUACUCGUGUGCUUCACUUAUAUCCUAUGAGUAAAUGGUUGAAUGAUUUGAAUGUCAUAAAUCUGAAAUUAUAUAUGUUUCAUAUGCCUUUCCCACGGGGAGUAAUGCCUUCACAUAUAAGAAGUAGAGGUGGUAAAUUUAUUGAAGGUUAGCAAACAUUGUAUUGGUCACUUGAACAAUUCAUGAAAGAAUAUUGAAGGAAGAGAGAUUUCACAUAUAAAUAUACUAUCUUGGACAUCUUCUAUGAUUGUGAGCCCCAUUAAUUAUUUUCAAACCUGAGCAAAUUAGUUGAAGUUUGACAAGGAAGAUGACAUAAUGAGUUAUGCUUGGGUAUAUUUGUAUAGAAGUUAUAUUGUUAUGGAUCCUCUAACAUGUGGUGCUUGCUAUUUAGAAUCCUUUGCUAGCCAAAAUACAUGUACUAAGCGGGAAUACUGCUUGUGCAUCCAAAUUCCUUGAACCAAGUUUCUUCCAUGAGUGUCCACCAUAUCUACCUAUAUGCGGUAUUUACCUACCGUUCCAAGUAAAUUUGCAUGUGCCAAACUCUAAACCGUCAAAUAAUAAUCUGUUUUGUAUGCCUGAAUCGCUUAUGUAGCGACUAGGGGUUAGCAGUAUCUUCCAUGCUAGGUGGGUUAUUCUCACGAUGAGUGGACUCCGCUCAUCAUUCACGAGAAAAAUGGCCGGUAACUGGGAUGCCCAGUCCCAUGAUCCAAAGAUCGAAAUCAAAUAAAAAAUAAUUGCAAACAAAACUCCCCCAGGAUUGAUGUUAGUUGGAGGCACCCGUUGUUUCGGGCAAGCCAUGGAUUGAUGAUUGUUGGUGGAGGGGCAGUAAAAUCUUUACCUUUCUGUUUGGGAACCGCCUAUAAUGUAUGUACUAUGGAAGAUAUUGGGAACUCUUGGUUAUUAUGUUGACAAUGAAAGCAUACCUCUCAAAAUUAUUUUCAUCUCUGUUUUUGCUUCGAGCUCUAGAACCUGUGCAAAUCCCUGCUUCCCUCUGGGAAGGGCCUAUCUUUUACUUUUAUGCAAGAGUCAGUAGUAUUCCUUCUCAUUCCAACCUACUCUUUAGUUGUCAAGCAUCAUGUGAUGGAAAGAUCUAGGCAUAUAUGGCCAUUCAAAUAUAUUUGAGCAUGAAUUACUACUGUUGACAUUACCCCAGAGGUAAAAGGUUGGGAGACGAAACAUUAAGCCCCUAUCUUUCUCUGUGUUCGAUGAAUACUAUUUGUUCUAAAAAUAUGCUUUGAGUGGUAGCAAUCAUGGAAGACUAGUUGAGUAUGUGGGAUUUGCUAAAUCAAAGCUCUGACAUAGACUCUUCCUGAAAAUAAGAUGAAUUGCAAUUGUUUGAUGACUGAGAACAUAGUUUGUUAGUUUUCAAGAAAGUUUAUGAUCUAUACUUUAAAAGCCUAUGUUUUGCUACGUUCAUCAACUAUCCUGCUCGUAAGGGGUAUAGCUACCACCCACUUCAACGGAGGUAUUGACUGUUAGAUAGGUUGGUUAUCAUGUGUCAUCUCAAGAAGCUUUGGGCUCUUUGUCUAUCUCACCGAAGAUGGCAGCAUUGCCGCCUCCGGUGGUCCAUUUUGCUUCAUUUCGAUCCUCCCCGGAAUCUCCAGUGUCUGUUGGUGGCAAGUCCGGAUCCCCCGCCGGUUUGAAAUUUGUUGGACCAGCUUUCAUGGUCAUACCAGAUUCUCCACCGAUGGAUGGUCAUGGCCUUGACCAUGGACCUGGCUCUGAGCCUAGUACUUCUACCCUUCAGGCCAUUGUGAUAUCUAAUGAUGAGGAGGAUAGCCCAACCCAUAUGGACUCCACAGUUUUCGAGAAGGUUUCUCCAUCAACACAGGAUAUUGUCAGGGAUUUGCAGGGCUUUGAUAAGAUGAUUGAGAGCUUGGCUACCACGUUUUGGGACUGCCAAAAUUGUUUGGGUAUUGGGCCACUAGACUGAGACUUGCAAAAACCGGAUUAGGUGUAGGAAUUGUUUCCGGUCUGGUCACAUUAAACGGGAUUGCACCGGCCAACCACUCGAUUCCUCCUUCUGGGUGCCAAAAGUCCCAUCCAAAGGCUUUGGAGCCCGCGCCAAGAAAGACGACUCCCUGGUCUCUUCGGUUUCUCCAUGCUAGAUGCCUCCACCGCCCAAAAAUCCUCACUCAGCAUCGCCGCCAAGCCCUUGAUCAGCACCUACCGCUCCUGUUUCCUCUCCACCAGCAACUCCAUCACCUUCGUCCCCAAUGGCGGUCUACGCGAUCGAUCCACAUCAAUUCAUCCCUGCUGGCUAAGACAUCGUCGAUGGUGGAGAGGAUGGGCUUCCUCGGACCUACUACACGCCGGCAGUCCCACCACCUCGCUCCCAUGAGCAAUAUAUGGUUGCCAUUGUCGAGCCGCUCCCACCAGCUCACCUGGUUGCGAUUCGCAGACAGCAGGUUCUUCAUUUUCUUACCCAGACUCUGCAUGUACCUGUGCUCUCUACUCAUACUUGGUUUCAAGGGAUGGGGCCUUUUGAGAUGGAGGAUCCAGUAGUGCGUGGUUCGUUUACGCAGCACCCACCUUUUCCUCUGGGAGUGGAUGAGGAUGAGAGGAGUUUUUUGUCAGAUUUAUUCCGCACAACUAGGGAGAGGGUUUCAGGGCUAUCCAUAGUCAUAGGAAUGGUUGGCUCAUGUUCAUUGGAGUGCCAUUGGAUUAUCAUAAUACUUAGUGUCUGGCGGAUGUGGUUGGAACCUUUGGGAAGUUUAAUUAUUGGAAUCAAACAGAUCGUCGUCUUGUCCGAUCCCUUAUUCGAGUCUCUUUCCUGGAUAAUGCUCUGGCUCCAUGCUCUAUUGUUUUCCGGUACUUUCCAAAUUGGGGAGGAGCUGUUGUAUCUUGUACUGCUAGUUGCUUCAUUCUUACUGGAGAAUUUGCCGAUGCCAUGAUAUCUGCGGAUGAAGACCCGAUGAAAUUGGAUGGCAACCCACACCCAUUGCCAGGAGUGAACCCUCCGCAACCCUUUUGGGAUAUGCCACCAUAUCCAGCGCUCGGGUGGAAUGCAGUGCCACCAGAUCAUAACCAAGUUAACAAUGGCCAUAAUGCUGGUGGUUGGGGACAUAACAUGAACCAUGAUGCAGAAUGGGGCCCCUGGGAUGAGCAAAUUCAGCAGCCACCACAGCAGCAGGUCGAUGCACCAGAGCAGCAACAUGAGCAAGUCCAAGAGCAUAACUCCAUGGUUUUAAACCCCUCGUUAGACUCUAAUAAUGAGAUGGACAUGGAAGAUGUACAGCAGCCAGUCAAUAAUCUAGUCGCAUAGCAUCCCGUGGCACCGUUGGACAUGGAAGAUGUACAACAGUGAGUCAAUAAUAUAUCUGGUAGAGGUCUUUCAGGUCGCUCAUGCCUGAAUUUUUCAACUUGUGUUUGGCCCAAGAACUAUGGACAGAAAUUUGGAUAUCUGAUGCAGUACGCAGAACUGGCAACACCCAAAUCUUCUGUGGUCAUCGAGAAAAUUCAUUCUGAAUAUGUGGAGCUAGAUGCACCACAAGAUGACAGUUCAACCCCGCACCCUGCUGAGGACAUUUACUCACAGGACCCUGAAGAAGAUUUCCAGUUUUUGUCUGUUUUACCUGCUGUACUACUUGGCAAGCGGGGAUGUGAGAACAGAUGUGCACGCAGAGCAACCAUUGCAAUCGCCCACACUCUAGAUUUGUCCACCAGGCGCAUGAACCUGAAGAUGCAGCGCAGGCGAUACCUCCACCAACACCAAUUCCAAAGAUGCAGGCGAUAUGUGCUCAUUUGGAUAUCUCCGAAGAAUGGCUUACAUUGGAGAAGCUUACGGCUCCUCCAAAGAAAUCUUCUUCUGAUCAUGUGUCUGAUGAUGAGUGAACCUAGGUUUUAUGUUCACAGCCGGAGGGGUUGUACCCGGCAUAUUUUUUCUUUUGUUGGUGGCUACUUAUUAUUUAAACUUCUAGAUCCCUAUGCACUCUUGGUCCUUUUUGUUGUGGUUUCUUAUACUGCUUUGUUAUGCUUAGCAGUACUAGACUAAAUUAUGUUGGUUUCUUAUGGAUAGUACAACUUAUCGUAAUUGGCGUGUGCUUUGCUGGAAUGUCCGUGGUUUGAAUUCUGAAGCUCGUCAGAGAGAUGUGAGAGCAAAAAUCGAGGAAAGUCAGUGCUCUAUUGUAUGCUUGCAGGAG
RNAcentral lists this long non-coding RNA (48102 nucleotides) under Triticum aestivum (bread wheat). RNAcentral's name for it is "long non-coding RNA (TAES_LNC013048)". The record is from RNAcentral. Lineage: Eukaryota; Viridiplantae; Streptophyta; Magnoliopsida; Poales; Poaceae.